RNAcentral lists this long non-coding RNA (47263 nucleotides) under Linum usitatissimum (flax). RNAcentral describes it as "long non-coding RNA (LUSI_LNC006001)". Lineage: Eukaryota; Viridiplantae; Streptophyta; Magnoliopsida; Malpighiales; Linaceae. The record is from RNAcentral.
CUUUUUUUUUUUUUUUUUUUUUUUUUUUUUUUUUUUUUUUUUUUUUUUUUUUUUUUUUUUUUUUUUUUUUUUUUUUUUUUUUUUUUUUUUUUUUUUUUUUUUUUUUUUUUUUUUUUUUUUUUUUUUUUUUUUUUUUUUUUUUUUUUUUUUUUUUUUUUUUUUUUUUUUUUUUUUUUUUUUUUAUUUUUUUUCUUUUUUUUUUAUUGUCUGUUUUUUUCUUUUAUCCUGUUUUUCUUCCUUUUCAAGAUCUUGAAAAGAGAGAGAAAAUGAGAGAGAGAGAAUGAGAAAGAGAAAACGAGGGAAAGAGAAUGAGAGCAAGAGAGAGAGAGAGGAGGAGAAAUUUUUGGAGUUUUUUUAUUUUUAGUGGCUUUGAUAUUGAAAAUACUAUAUAAAGAAUUUUAGAUGAAAUCAGUCAGUUGAUACAAUUAUUGUUGUUAUGUGCUAUUAUCGUAUGAUAAGCGGGUGGGGCUUUUCUUGUUUUCGUAAACAUCAAGAUUUUAUUGGUUGGGUCUAUGAUUCCAGCCUACAUGAUACUCAAAAGGGCCCUGGUUCAUCUGGAAAUGAAAAGUGCUUUAUGAACGUUUGGAUUGGUGCUUCCUUGACUCGGUUUGGUAACUUCAAUUUCUACCCACCUAUAUCGUGUUAAGUCGGAUCACCGACCUAUUUUCAUGGUUGCGACCAAGCUCAAGAAGUCAAAUCUUCCUCAUACCUUUCGCUUUAUGGCUUCAUGGUUGUCACAUGUUGAGUUUAAGCCUUUUUUUGUCGGAAUGGAAUCGGUCUUUUACCUUUAUUCAUCAGAUGUCCAUUCGAGCUACCAAACUGAAAAAAUGAAAUAAGGAAAUUUUUGGCAACAUCCAAACGAAUAGAAGGAGCUUAUCUUUAAACUUGCUGAUGUUUAAGCUCUCGCAGCUCCUCUACUCAUUCAAGACACCACAAUGGACAUUGCAAGUGACCGGAAUACUCAUUUUUUUCACGUAUCCACCUUCCGUAGGCGUGCUCGGAACCACAUUAUUAAGUGAAGGAUGACUGUGGGGUGUGUAUUCAUUAGGUUUGGGAGUCGGUUAAUUUGGUUAAUAACCAUCGGUUAAUGGUCGGGAAGCGCUUUGAUGAUUGAAAUUAAUUAACCAAAUUAACCGACCGAGCAAAAGCCACGGUUAAUCUUACCGACCGAUAACCGACCAAUCAGUUAAAUGAUCGAUUAUUAACAGACUGACUCUCGGUUAACCGUUGUAACCGGCUCUGACCAAUUUAACUCUCUUCUCAUAUUGCAACAAGAUUCUAGGCUCUGGCUCUAGAUCCGUCGUCGAUUCAAGCCUUGGAGACCAUAGCUUCUCUUCUGGAAACAAUCCGGUGCUCUACAACUUGAUCCUUCGGGACUGGAAGCUUUCCGAGACGGCGUUGUUGCGGAUCAGUAAGGAGAGGAGGAAGCUUCAAGCCUAUGGUGUUGCAGAUCGAAGAAUUGAGAGAGUGGAGGAGGAGAGGAUUGGCCGUGGCGACGAAGGAAGCAUGUGGUGUUGCAGAUCGAAGAAUCGAGAGAGUGGAGGAGGAGAGGAGCGCUUGCGGUGACUCGUCGUGGUCGUCGUCGUGACUGCCGGCGAGAUGCUGAAAUUGAAUCGCUUGGAUUGAUAGAGUUGUCGAGAUGGAUUGAUGGAGUUGUCGAGAUGGAUUGAUGGAGAUGGCUCGGAGUUAACCUAAUUUCAGAAUGAGAGGUUGUGAUGGAGUGGGAGGCUGGGAGGGGAGGGAGCGAUUCUGCGAUUGUGGUGAGCAAAGCUUGAUUUCCUAAUUGGGGACCUUGGUUUUUUUAAUUACCGGUUAACGUUGGUUAACUCGAGUUAACCAACGAUUUUACCCUGCUCCAACAAGUACUCCCAACUGUUCCCCGACCGACCCCUACCUCGGUUAAACCGACACUCUAACCGAGUCGAUCAGUUCAUCUGUUUAACCUAUUAACCGAGACUGAUGGCCCACCCUUAGUAUUCAUCCAGCUUGUUGCUGCAAUUAGUGUCGUAUUGAUAUGGUUGAGAGAGGAUAAAAUAUGCUUGAUUUCAAGUUCUCCAACUUGAAAGGUUUAGCUGUUAAAAAUGUAGAGGUCAUGACUGAGUACUGAUUUCCAGCAAGGAGAAGUUGGAUAUUUGCUUGCGAUAAAAAAGAAUUUGGACAGUCUAUCUUAGGCACAAAAUCUAACGGAUGAGAUGGCAACUUUACUUCAGGGGCCUAUUGGUCAUUUUAAAAUUUUCUUGUUUUUCAGUUUAUUUUUCCAUUCUGUUUAAUAUUGGUUCAAGUAAAAUGAUUUCUUGUAAAUUGGGUCUAUUGAGUAACGUGGGUGGGUAGACUUUAUUGCUCCCAUCGAGCUUGACGUGAUAUUUUCUUCUUCGUUUCUUUAACAUGCAUAAAUUGUAUAUAAUACGAAAGGUUGGAAAUAUAUGUGAAGCUCGAGGUUUAUUAUAUAUGUUUCGAGGUUUAUUAUAUAUGUUGAACCUUUUUGCCAAUUGGUUAUUUUUAUCAUGUAGUGCCUUAUCAAGUAAAGGGAAUGGUUGUUUUUAUCUACUGUCACUAGCCAACUUUCUUUCUCAUGUGAUCAAUUAUUUGAUCACGCAUGAAUGACUACAGUACACAAAAGAUAGAAAUAUUAUAAAAACAAAAAACAAAUAUUAAAAAAAAAUACCUAAAAAGCAGGUACAUAACAACAAAAACAAUAACCGUAAAUAUCAAGUACAUGAAAGCGGAUGCUCAAAAUAAGCACGCACACAUUAAAAACUUUGGUACAUACAAGGCAAGAAAAUCGAGAACAUAUUGGAACUCGAGUACCGGAAUUGGUACGGUAUUAAGUACAACGUGAAGAAAUAUCAAGUACAUUAAAAAGCGAGUAUAUAACAAUAGAAAUAAGUACACGAAAACAACUCAGAGAAAUGAUAAUUUGAUUGCCAAAAUUGAGUAUGAUAAAGUAAAAUGCAAGCACGUAGUACAUGAAACAAAUAUGAGUAAGAGUACAUAAAUUUUUUAGUACAAUACAAGACAAAAACUCAAAUACAUAUAAAAACUGGACACUAAAAAAAAUAAUUAAUUAUUCACAAUUUUAAAUAAUAAUAGUCACGAUUUUUAUCAUGAUUAACAGAAGCUAGUCACGAAAAUAAAUCCGUAACUAACCUAACCGAUGCUAGAUGAACUUGUCACGAAUCUGAAUAACCUGUAACUAAGUUGUCACCGAAAUUUUCCGUGACCAACUCAUCACGGAAGAAACCGUGAACAUAUGUGUUUUUGUUUUUGUUUUUUAAAUUAGUGGCACGGAGCCAUAUGCUGUGAUAAUUGAUUUAUUAAUAAAUUAAUCCCACAUCUCCGUGGCUACUAUAUCACCAGAAUUUCCAGAUUCCGGCAACCACAAUUUCCAGAAUCCGGCAAUAAGAUAGAGUUGAUAAUUGCUUUUUUAUUAGAGUAAAAUGUUCUACAUCUAUACAUUAUGAUACCCAUAUCAAAAUUCCAGAAUCCCAAAAUUGAACAUAACGUCAACGAAAGGCACCAUGCAACAAUGGUGACACUAAGGGUUACAACAACCAGCAAAACCGAAACACAGACUGGAAAUGCUACCAAGAGAAGGAUGAGACUAGAUGAUGAGAUUGAGAUUGAGAGAAGAAAAAUGAUAGUAAGAAAUUUUGUUUUCGAGAGAGAUCAAAUGAAGAUGAGAUCUACUUCUAAUUUAAUAUAAUGGAAAUGGAGAUAUGGUUGUUUAAUGGCAAAGAGAGAAGAAAGGAAUAGCCCAUUAAACGAGGAUAGAGUCUGCAUCAUUUCUUUUUUCGACCUUUUCCCACUAAAAUGCUAAUUUUAAAAUUAUAAAUAAAAGUUGGUCACGGUUCCAACAUUUACCGUGAGUAGUUGGUCGCGGUAUUCAACAAUCCAUGACUAGUUAUGGAUUUUUUUUUAUCUAUAAGUAGUUAGUCAUGGUUUUUAAAGCCGUGAUUAAUAAAUCGUGAUUAAUCGUUGAUUUUUUUUGUAGUGCGAGUAUGAGUAUUGAGUAAAACGUCAUGUACAAAAACAAGUACAUCAAAAGCGAGUACAUAAUUAUCAAAACAAGUACUAAAACGAGAGGAAAAGUACAUAAAAAGCGAGUAUAUAAUAAUAGAAACAAGUGCAGUAAAAAUCAAGUGCAUGAAAGGAAAACGAAACUCAAACUAAACACUAAUACAAAAAAAACUUUAGUACGCAAAUAAGUAAAUACAAGAAAAUUAACAUACACAAACGAAUACAUAAGAGUAUAGUGUUUAAACAAAGCGAUUAUACGGAUCAAUACGAUGUUGAGUACAAAACAACAACUUGAGGCUUUAUCCCUCAUUUUUAGAUGAUUUUGUACUAAGUUCUUAUAUGUAUUAGUUUUUAUUAAUGUAAUCCCUCGUGUACUUUGUCUUUGGAUUUAUUUUUAUGCCAUAUCUAUUUAUUUACGCAUUUGUGUAUACUUAUAUUUUUAGAACUUUAUACUCAAAUCAAUUAAUCAAACAAUAAAACUAUUUUCUCUUUACACGAACCAACAUAAUAACCCAUCACCCCAUACAGGGUUGUGAAGGAGGUGCAGUGACCAGAAUUUUCUAGUUGUUGCUUUUCUAUAGUUUGAUAAGGGUAAGCAUCUUGUUCUAGAAUAUAUGUUGUUAGGUUAUAACAAUGCAUCUAGUUGAGCAUGAUUCUUUGGUCAAGUGUUACUGGGAUUCUUUUUGUUCCACAUCAAUGCUCGGAGGUCGAAGAGGCAACGAGGGUGACGAAGAAAUCGGCAUCACCACGUGAGAGAAGAUGAAGAAGAGGUCAGAGAGUGGAGCCGGUGGAAAAGAUAUACUAGAAGAGGUACUUAAAGUUACUUGUACGACAAAACUGCCCUUAUUCAAUUGGACAACCCCUAGAUUAAAAUUUAAAAAUGAACGGACGCGAUUCGUUUGCGGCCAGCAAACACAUAAUAUCAUGGCUGCCUAUCCGGACUCGUCAUAACUGGCGUCAACAUUACGUAGUGUUGUCAAAAAUUAAAAAGGGGAAUAUAUAAUAAUAAUAAUAACAGACGUAAUCUUGUGUAUAUAAUGAUAUUAAAACGUUUUUCAAUCGACAAAGCCAAGUCUGCGGGAGGAACAGCUAAUGGACGAACAGCCUAAGCAUAAGCCGCCUUCUUCGUAUUCUUCAGAUUCUCUGAAUCUCUACCCUUUUUUUUUGUUACGCGGAUUCCCUUCCCUCGUCUGCAAACAAAAAGCUCUUCGUUGACUUUUUAGCAGGCUUUUUUAAAAAACCUUAAUUGAAAAAAUUUGUACAUGGUUGUUGCCUUUGUUGGCGUCAGCAUGACCCAAUGCUGUUGUCAUGUUCAUGAUUGCUCCAACUCACCUGGCUGCGCAUCUGCCUUCUGACCUGACCUGCCCUCCUCCUUUUUUUUAAAUUAUGUUUCCCCAAAAUUAAAUUUAAAUCGUUACAAAAUUGGUCUCUCCUUCUCCUAUAUAUAACGUGGAAGAGCUCCUGCCAAAAAAGUCAUUCAAACUCAAAGCAGAUAAAUUAUCAAAAUAAAAAAGAAAACCCCAGUGCUCUGCCUGCCGUUAAGAAAUUAGUUUAUUGGGUUUGUUGUGUUUAUGAAAGCUGUGUUCCAGAGACUGAUAUCGUCAAGCACCCAGAUUGGCUGUAGGAAGAAAGUUGCAUCUUUUCCAUUAAUCAGAAGCGCUAAUAUGUCUGAAUCCUCUGCCUUUGAUUCUCCGAGAUUGGUGACCAAGAAGGUCCUUGCUAAGCUUCAGCGUGAAGGGGAUGGUGCUUCUGUCAGGAGAAGCAUUGGAAGGUAUAAUAUAAUAUAUCAUGGAUGGAUGGAUGGAUAUACAAUUUUCUUCUUGUCAAAAUUGAAUUAACUGUUUUCGUUUCUGUGGUGAAAUUGAAUGAUUGAAUGUUGAAUUAUUUUGGUUCAGGAGUGAGCUCAGGUCUCUGGACCCUUUCCUCAUGUUGGAUGAGUUUUCAGGUCUGCUUUGCUUAAUUACUUGAAACCAAAUUCCUUGAUAUUUUCUAGAAUUAGGAUGAUGAUGGAUGAUGGAUGGUAUUUAAUUUGUUGUUGCAAAUUGCAAUGCAUGAAGUCUCAGCUCCUGCUGGAUUUCCUGAUCAUCCACACAGAGGUUUUGAGACUGUUACAUACAUGCUGGAGGUACAGACAGUACUGGAGUUAAUUAUUUAUUAUGAAUUGAAGGCUGUUUUUUGUCCUUGGUAGUCUAUUUAUUGAUGUCUGUGAAAUUCGUGGGUGGCACUGGCAGGGAUCAUUCACUCAUCAAGAUUUUUCUGGGCAUAGAGGGACUAUUCAUGCCGGGGAUGUUCAAGUAAAAUAAUUCACUCAAUUACAAUACUACGACGUUUACUUAAUUAGCUAGCUUUACUUGAUCAAAGUCAAAAACUCUUUCUUUUUUUAAAGUAAACAACAACAACAACUUGUGUGUUUUCCUGUUGGGCAGUGGAUGACAGCAGGUAGAGGGAUAGUCCAUUCAGAAAUGCCUGCAGGAGAAGGAGUCCAGAGAGGCCUUCAGCUUUGGAUAAACCUCUCUUCUCAACAUAAAAUGUAUGUUUUUAUUUCCUUUUUUGUUUGUACUUUCCAACUUCACCAUUCCAACAGUUUGUAAUAUGGAACCAACAGGAUUGAGCCAAGGUAUCAGGAACUUCUGAGGCAGGACAUCAAAAGAGCAGAGAAAGACGGGGUUGAAGUCCGAAUCAUAGCAGGGGAAUCAAUGGAAAUCGAGUCUCCAGUUUAUACAAGGACCCCAACAAUGUACCUUGAUUUCACACUGCAACCAAGGUCCCAAAUGCACCAGCCCAUUCCAGAAUUAUGGAACGCAUUCAUUUACGUCAUUGAAGGUGAGGGAGUGUUUGGGAUCCCAAACUCCUCACCAGUUGAAGCACAUCAUACACUCGUUCUAGGCCCUGGUGAAGGAAUGAGCGCCUGGAACAACUCCUCUUCCAAACCCUUGAGGUUUGUCUUGAUUGCAGGCCAGCCACUUAACCAACCAGUGGUGCAGCAUGGUCCUUUUGUCAUGAACACAGAAUCUGAAAUCCACCAAGCAAUUGAAGAUUACCACUACUCCAAAAAUGGGUUUGAAAUGGCGCAGUAUUGGAGUUCCCAAUAGGGAACAAGUAAGUGCUUGGAUCACUCAAAACCAAAUCUCCACAUUCCCUCUCAACUUUGAAGAAGAAAAGAGUAAAGAAUAAAAAUACACAUCCACAAACACUAAAGGCCACACGCAUAUGUGAGUGAUACUCAUUUGUGUUCCAUCAUGUAUUAAUUUAGCUUUUAUCCUCUUCCAACCUUUUACUAUUCCAAAUCAAAAGGUUGAUUAUUGCAUUGUCACACAAAACAAUGAUAAUAAAAAUACUCAAUUCAUAUAAUCCUUAGAAUUAAUUCUUUUCAUAACUAUAGUAGAUGUUUGAACAAGUGAGAACAAAAUAUAAGCUUAAUCUUAAUAGUAAUAUCAACGGAUAAUAGCACUGUGUGUCACUUAAUUAUUACCCAUGUCGCACAUAAACUACUUAACUUUCUACAUUGCACAUAAAGCCACUUAACUUUGCUUAUGCUUGCAACAUCCAAAUUUUCAUUCAAUUUAUGGAUAGACUGAUCGAAUUGAUGAGUUCUUAUUCGAGAUCUUCUGUAUGAAUAACCUCCAACACAUUAAAGAGAACAAUAAUUUAUAAGAACUGACAGAAUAACUUAUUACUUGUUUACAGAAAAGAAUGAUAAAAUAAAAAGGCAAGAAUAGAUUAUAAUCAUGCCUUGGACACUGCUUUCGAAAAAAUAUUUCCCGAAUUUAGAACACCAAUACAACUAAAGGUUAAUCACAAUAUUCACUCAAACUCUAGUGUAGGGCUUGAAUGUUGGAACUUGGAAACUUAUGCUAUUUUGAUUCCGAUUUUGAGAGUGAAAACAAAGUUUUCUGCCCAUAUUAAUCAACUAGGAUUUCCCUUUUUAAAGAGAACGCAUCCACUAACCAACAUCAAAUCCAGAUUCUCCUUUCUGAUGAUCAUCAAUGAUAAGCAGAUAUGGGGAAGGUGGAGUUGAGCUCCCGAUUUCUAGGAAGCCAACCAAAUACUUCUGUUAAGCAUAAGUCUUGAGUAUAUGCGGUAUGUAACUGAUCAUUACUGUUACUUCAAGUGGUUAGAUAAUGGUUACAUCAUCUUGCUGUUGUCCGUUGAUGACAUGUUGAUAGCAAGUUCUAUUGUAAAAGAAGUAAACAAGUUGAAGAAACAGUUAUCUAACAGUUUACUAUUAAGAAUAUAGGAGACGCUAAACAGAUUUUGAGUAUGUGCAUUGAUCAUGAUAGGCAAGUAGGAAAGUUUUAUCUUUCGCAAGUUGAAUAUAUCAAGAAAGUCUUGAAGAGGUUCAAAAUGCAGGAUGCAAAACUAGUAAAGAUUCCUUUGGGUGGCUAUUUCAAGCUAUUUGAGAAGGAUAUGCCUAAUAAUGAUCCAGAACGUGCCCAAAUGCACGAAACACCAUACAUUUUUGUAAUUGAUAGCUUGAUGUAUGGAAUGGUGUGCACAAUACCAGAAAUUGCACAUGUAGUGGGAGUUGUCAAUAGAUUCAUGGGAAAUCGGGGGGAAGCGAUUAAGUACUCCUGAGAUAGUUGAAGAUUACUACUAAAAGGGUCUUGGGCUUUGAGGGCAAAGUAAUGUAGUUAGAAGGAUUUGUCAUCAAGUGACCUUGAUAGAAGAAGAUGUACAACAUGGUAUAUUUUUACUCUUUGAGGUACCAUGGUUUCUUGGGCUUUUAAGUUGCACUGUCUAACACUCAAGCUAAAUAUGUUGCGGUAACGAAGGCCAGCAAAGAGAUGGUAUGGUUUUAGAAUUUCUUUGGUGAAUUGGGGAAGAAGAAAGAGGAUAGCAUAUUGUACAUUAGUCUUAUACACUUGCAAAAAAUUCAGCAUUUCAUUCAAAAUCGAAGCUCAUAUUGAGUUGAUGUAUCACUUUAUGGGUUGAUCUCUUGGAAAGGAAGAUCUUACGGCUUAUGAAGAUUCUAGGAAGUGAGAAUCCUAUGGAUAUGCCGACUAAGGUUGUAAAGUUGGAGAAGUUGACACUGUGUAUGACUUUAACUGGUUUUGUAACUGAAGUUGAAGGUCAGAUGCUGCUUGUAGUAGGAAGACGUUGAACAUGGAGAACCAAUGAGAGGAGUAUGUCUUCAGGUGGGAGAUUGUUGGGUUAUGGUGCCUAAGAAACUGAAGGCUUGGUCCAGUUAGUUUGUUUAGUUAGAUAAAAAUUAAGAUUAAUCUUGUCUAUUCUAUAUAGGAUUAGAAUUAAUAUGGUAGCUCCCUAUAAAUAAUCUAUAUUCAUAUCAUUGUAAUCUGUAUCACAACAAUAGUAGUCGAAAUCCUAACUUGGUUUGUAAAAAAAGAAAUUCUAGCGUGGUAGCGCCCUAGACAUACUCUUCUCGUGAAGAGGAACUAGGUUCUUAAUUUUUCAGUUUAUGAUUGCGUUUCAUUUUUUACAGGAACGACCAGAUCCAGCUCAGAAACUUCCUCAAGAUGGCGACGUUGAAGAAGCUCUGUCUCGCUAACGCCUAACAAUGGCUUCUCUAGACUGAUUCAGACUGUCCUCACCGCUGGAAAAGGAGAUUAGAUAGAAAUCCAUCUUUUAUUCCUCUUCAUUGUUUUUAUGACAAUUUCUUCUUUUCUUUUAUAAUAGAGAACUAUUUAUCACUUUUGUUGGACAUUUCUUGUUUGUUUCCCUCAAGAACUAAUAAUUUUGGUCAAUGGGUGACCACUGAUGAUGUUGAUUCUAUAAGCUUUAGUAUUUAGUCAAAUUCUUGAGUUUUUUUCAACUAGAAAAAAAAAGAAGAGAGGUUACAGUUUCAAUUAUUAAGUUUGAAGAAUUAAAGAAAAAAAACUAGACUACAGAUAUGAAAAGGUAAUUCUGAUAAUUUUUAUUGAUGAAUUUUUUUUUUGUAAUGAGUAAGAUAAUUUUUUAGGUUUUAUAAAUGGGUUUUUGGUUAAAAAUCUCAUUUAGAUAGAGUUUUUGAUGGGUAAUUAUGAAAUUUGACAUAAAGGGUACAUGAUUAAAAAGGUGGGAAAGGAAGAUGCGAAAAGAAGGUAAGAAGGAAUCAAUUCAUGGCAAAAAAGAAAAAUAAAUAAGAGGGAAGAAAGAAGACAUAUAUUGAUGGGAGGCGGAGGUGGGAUAGGGAGGUGAGAGAAAGAUGUAACAACAAAGAAGGGUUUAGCGAAAGGUGNNNNNNNNNNNNNNNNNNNNNNNNNNNNNNNNNNNNNNNNNNNNNNNNNNNNNNNNNNNNNNNNNNNNNNNNNNNNNNNNNNNNNNNNNNNNNNNNNNNNNNNNNNNNNNNNNNNNNNNNNNNNNNNNNNNNNNNNNNNNNNNNNNNNNNNNNNNNNNNNNNNNNNNNNNNNNNNNNNNNNNNNNNNNNNNNNNNNNNNNNNNNNNNNNNNNNNNNNNNNNNNNNNNNNNNNNNNNNNNNNNNNNNNNNNNNNNNNNNNNNNNNNNNNNNNNNNNNNNNNNNNNNNNNNNNNNNNNNNNNNNNNNNNNNNNNNNNNNNNNNNNNNNNNNNNNNNNNNNNNNNNNNNNNNNNNNNNNNNNNNNNNNNNNNNNNNNNNNNNNNNNNNNNNNNNNNNNNNNNNNNNNNNNNNNNNNNNNNNNNNNNNNNNNNNNNNNNNNNNNNNNNNNNNNNNNNNNNNNNNNNNNNNNNNNNNNNNNNNNNNNNNNNNNNNNNNNNNNNNNNNNNNNNNNNNNNNNNNNNNNNNNNNNNNNNNNNNNNNNNNNNNNNNNNNNNNNNNNNNNNNNNNNNNNNNNNNNNNNNNNNNNNNNNNNNNNNNNNNNNNNNNNNNNNNNNNNNNNNNNNNNNNNNNNNNNNNNNNNNNNNNNNNNNNNNNNNNNNNNNNNNNNNNNNNNNNNNNNNNNNNNNNNNNNNNNNNNNNNNNNNNNNNNNNNNNNNNNNNNNNNNNNNNNNNNNNNNNNNNNNNNNNNNNNNNNNNNNNNNNNNNNNNNNNNNNNNNNNNNNNNNNNNNNNNNNNNNNNNNNNNNNNNNNNNAUGGGUUUGUGGUUAAAAAUCUCAUUUAGAUAGAGUUUUUGAUGGGUAAUUAUGAAAUUUGACAUAAAGGGUACAUGAUUAAAAAGGUGGGAAAGGAAGAUGCGAAAAGAAGGUAAGAAGGAAUCAAUUCAUGGCAAAAAAGAAAAAUAAAUAAGAGGGAAGAAAGAAGACAUAUAUUGAUGGGAGGCGGAGGUGGGAUAGGGAGGUGAGAGAAAGAUGUAACAACAAAGAAGGGUUUAGCGAAAGGUGAUAUAAACAAAAUUAAUUUUGUAAGAAAAUAUUUUUUUUAAUGCCAUGUCAACUAGUUUGUAACUUUUAGUGUCCAUGUCAACAAACAAAAUUUUAUAAAGUUACCAAAAUUCAAAAUUUGUGUUACGAAAAGUAUUUCUAAUAGAUUGUGCCAUUUUCGGUAAAGGCUUAAUAGGUUGUGCAUUUAAGAAAAAAAAUAUUAUUGUGUUUCUACAAUUAACAUCAAUUAUCACCAAACCAUUAAAUACUAAAAACCAAUUAAGAUAUAGUCAUGUUACAAAAAAUGACUCUUGUUAUGAUUUUUUUGUUUAUGCAAUGAUAGGAUGAGAUUAAAAGGUUAAUUUCUUUUUCGACAAAACUUGUAAAAUAUUAUUAAACUCAAUUAGAUAUAAUAUCAUCUACAGUUGGUCAAUCAAAAAAAUUGAGGGUCUAUCCACCGAAACAAUCGUGGAGUUCCAAUGAGUCUGAUUAUACGCCAUAACAUGGGUAAGCUUGUUAACUUAUCUCCGGCCAUGACGCCAAUUACCACAAUCAAACUUUGCCAAAAGGCAACGAAUUAUGGACUAAAAUCCAUGUUCGGUAUGAUGAUCUUCCACAUGAUGCAAAGUCUCAACCAUGAUCAAGCUAUCACUUUCAAGAACCACAUUAGGAUACCUAUGUUGCAAGGCCAAUUGUUAGCAAAAUCUUGCCUCGACCGCCUCAGUUAAAGUAGGCUCAUAGCAACCCUACAAUUUCAACAUAUCCGCCAUUAAGUAAUGCCGAACGCCAUCCCAGAUAACCACCCCAAUACCCAUUCUGGAUCCUGUAAUGAUAGUUGCGUUUAAGGUAGUGAAACUGGUGAGUCAACAUGGGAUCGAAAAGGGACCUAGAAUCGUAAUCGUAAAAUCAAAUCGCAAAAUCAUAAAAUUUCACGGUUCUUCAAUAAUACUAAAUAUUCAGAAAUUCACCUUAGCAUAAAGACGUAAGUUCAUUAUCCAAUCUAAAAUUAAAAAUAAAAUCUCAAAUUCACCUUAAUAGGUUCUUCAGUUGCACUACUUUGAGCUGAUUUUCGAGUCUAGGAGACCGGAGACAAAAUCUGUGAACAAAAUUGUACAAUCUUACAACAAAAAACAAAAUACCUUCGAACAAAGAACCUAAACACCAAAAAUCCAAAACUAAUCUAACAAAAACAGAAUUAGAGAAAGGAAUGGGAUGAUGAGCAAAAUCAUGGAAUGGGAUGAUGAAGAAUCAUGGAAUCAAGGAAACAGAGAUACCUUCGAGCCGUAGGAGUGGCUGGAGCGAUGGGGACGACCAAAGAGGCUAUGACGAGGACCAUUGACUCCUGGUUCUGGUCUUCUAGACUUCUGGGGGACGACCGACGGGGGAGACGACAAGAGAGAAGACUGAGGAUCGAGCAGAGAUCGAACGAGCAAUCGACGACUUGCACAAUUUUUUUCAGAAGAUAAAUGAAUUUAAGGUUCGAUUUUUUGCCCAAAAUUGAACUCGGAUUUCCGUUUCGGUUCGAACCGAAGCAUAAAAACCAGCGGUCAGCACAGAGUAGUGGACUCGUGAAUCGUUGUAAACUCGUUCGAUUCCACGAUUUUCACGAUUUUGCGAGCGAUUUCAUGCCAUUAUAAGCCAUUUUGAUUGCGCGUGAAAUCUGACUCGACGGACCUAACAAAACUCGUAAAAUCGUCGAUUCCACUUCCUUCGUUGUGUAUGUACUGAUAUGGGGUUCCUGGUUUAGUGGUUGAACCGGGGUUGGACCGUUUUUAAACCGGGUCGGCCAUUUUAAAUAUUACAUAAAGUUAAAUCGGACCGAAAAAAUAUUGGAUUGAACGAAAUCAAACUGACAGUACAAAUAGUCAAAUUUUGAGAUUUAACCUUUGAAAAUUGAACAAUUUUAAAAAAUUUAUGUACAUUAUGAUGUUAUUCUUUUUUAAGUUUAUGUAAUAUAAUGAUAUUAUCUAUAGUUGAAGUCUUCCACACAUAUAUAUCUAGAAUGCUAAAGAAACCCUAAUGGAUCUUUCAAUCUUUCUUUAAUUGGGCUCCAACUACUCAAUACCCUCUCUCACACUUUUUUUCUCUAUAGAGAAACUCUCUCCCUUUUUCAUCAGAUUUUUUUCUCCUUGUAAUCUAAUCUUAUUUUUCUAAUAUUUUCAUUCUAUUUCUUCCCUAUUUGUCUCUUUUACUUUUUUCUUUUUGGAAGGUUAUUAGAAAAAGAGGACCACUAAAUAAUUCCGUCGACGUCCAGCAAUAGGGUUUUCCAAUUUUUUCACAGAUGGAUCCAUGUUUCCAAAGUUCUUUUGUUUUUUUUUCUGAUCUGAUAGUUGGUUCUUUAACUAGUUGAAUUAUCUGGUUUUCCGGGGAAAUCGGGUCAAUCCUCAGUUUUGUUCAUUCUCCUCAACCGCUAACUCAGUAUUGAUCAAAUGAUCGGUUCACAGUCGGACCGGCCGGGCUGAUAUGGUUUUGCUAACAUUGAUCUUAGUAGAGCCGACUAGAGGCCAUUCCAACCGAGCCACAAUGGCCUCAUACGAAAAACUCCUAGUUACCCUGAGUUCUUGAUAAUAAAUAAGAAUUGGAGUGCUUGUGCUAUGAUAUCACACUCCAAUUAGUGAAACUCAUUAAGCAUACACACAUUCCUUUCUUUCCAUCAGAAUCACAUAAGCAUUACCCAUCUUUCCAACUCCAAAUUCAAAACUUUGCGGUUGCUAAGUGAGAACCAAUCGCAUCAGUCAUUAGAAUCAUCAAAAUCAACCAGUGAUCAUGUUUAGAGUUACCUCAAAUCCGCCAAGUCCAUUGGCAAUCUCGGAAAUAGUGAAUUUGCAGGCAACCUGCAAAAUGGGCAUAUAUCACCAUGUCGAGGAUUAUGCUUAUACAUAUUAUACCUGUAGGUAAAAUUUACGAUGAAAUUUUCAUAAGAACUGCUCACCUUCGACGGAAUCUACAAUGACCAAGAACAAUUCCAAACAUCCGAGUUGCAAUUUGGAUUAAGACCCACUAAAAGAAAACCGUGUCCAUUAUUACGGAUAAAACCGGCCGUUGUCACUGAUAUUUCCAUGUCCCUGCCUCGUUGUCGCGGGAAAAUCAUCCGCGACAACGGGCGCCUUCAUAAUGAGGGGUGNNNNNNNNNNNNNNNNNNNNNNNNNNNNNNNNNNNNNNNNNNNNNNNNNNNNNNNNNNNNNNNNNNNNNNNNACGGCCGCCUUCAUAAUGAGGGUUGUGGGGACUAAACUAUCCGCGAAAAAUAGGGUUGGCGCGAACCCGUUAUGACCGGUUUGGUUCAAAUAGUUAGGUUGAAAGGCAUUUUAACAAGUUUAUCCGCAAAAACGGCAAGAGAUAUCCGCGACAAUGGCUAACAACAUUUGUUUUGCCGUCAUAACGGUUCCCCUAACGACGUUGAGUUUAUCCACGGCCAAGGUUGACAUUGUUAGUUUCUCCAUCCUACCCGUAAUGGUUGUUGUGCCAAAUACUAGGCCAUAAUAUCUGCGACAACAGCUCAAGUACUGCCUAAAAUUUUGUUAUUUUUGCUUGUUUCGUCCACUGUGGGCGCCUAAAAUAAAAGUUUAUAUAUGCACUAUUCUACACAUAACACAAUAUAUACCAAUAUCAUUAGCAUAACGAUAACACAUAUGAUCAUCCAAGAGUUAAUACUAUAACAUAAUCCAUAGAUCUACUCCAACAUAAUUCCUUGAUUUUUUACCUAACUAAAGUCAUUAGUUCACUAGACUACAUCACUAUCAACCUAGAUAUAACUACACUAGAGACUCGUCAUCCUCAUCCUCGUCAUUAUGACCAAGAUCCUUAUUAGCUCAAGUAUACAAAAGAAGAUAUAUAAAAUUGAAAUUAGGUUAAAACACAUAAAAUUAAGUAACAUGAACUUUAUAACAUAUAAAGAUUACUAAUAAUUUACCCGCCACAUCGUAGUCGUAGUUCUGUUGGAUGUGGUUAUAUUAUAUUAACCGCUACAAUCGUCGUUACGGAUCAUUAUCCGUGUCCGACGAUGACCUAACCGUGACACCCGUUAUCGCGGAUAUUAUCCCCCAUAACUAAUCUACGUCAGACAUCAAAUUUUGUUGUAGUGGCCAAGCUAUUCUUUAAAGCUAGUCAGCCAGUUUUAAUACCCCUAUUUUUUCGAAUAAACAGCUUUACUACUUGAAAUCCAAAUAAGCAUUCCGAUUCUUGAACAUCGCAAUGAAUAAUUUGCACGAUAGAAGUUGAUAUAGUUGACCAAAAACAGCUUUCAAUAAGAGCAGUAUUCUACUGAUAAGUCGUUCGAUUAACCAACUCACGAACUGUAGCAUCAACAUCAAACCUCAUCGGCGUAGAGGUCACAAAAUUACCGGGUACUAACGGAAGCCAUCCGUCUCCCCAAAUUCUAACGGACAUACAAUUUCCCACCCACCACCCAAGGCCACUCCAUACAAAACAUUGAGCACCAAAAAGGCUAUGCCAUAUAAAGCUAAACCCAACUCAGCUUUAAAGACAUAAUAGAAUUUUUAAAAUACUUAGCUUUCAUAAUUCUUACAAUAAGGGAAGAUGCUCUUGAGUGUAAGUUCCAAAGAUGUUUAGCAAGUAAAGUAAUGUUAAAGCCUAAAAAAUCACAUAAUCCCAUCCUAGCUUCGGAUUUCAAACUCAAUAGAUAUUCUUGACAAAAUGAGGGAUGAGCACUGGGUCGGGUCACCCAUCAAAACCCACCCGCCUAUAAUCACUCUCUACCACUACUACCCUUUUCCCCAUCACCAUAAAACUUUGCAUGCUUGUUUGUGUGUUUUUGUAGUUUUUUUGUGUGUUUUAUGUCGCUUUUCAUCGUUUGAGUAGAGAGAGAGAGGGAGAGAGAGAGGGAGAGAGAGAGAGGGAGAGAGAGUAUUUCAAGGGUUGCAUGUCAUACCAAUGAUUAAGAAUGCAUGAUAGAAGGUCUCGAUUCAAAUUAGGGUUCGGUCGGUGUCUGAUCGAAGGACGAAUGAUGCUUGCAUUAUUUUAUUUUUACUGAAAAAUUGGGCUUCUGGAGCAGCCUUUAGAUCAAUCUCAAGGUGUGUGGCUUUGCAUAGUGUGUGUCGUUUCCUUAAGUUUCUCUCGAUAGAAAAUCGAGUUUAUGGCGUGUGAUCCCACAUGCCAUGUGACUGAUUUUUGACAAAACGAACCGACCAAAGAACAACCAAAAACCCAACCGGCUCAAACCGUAAUGAACCAGAUUGAUUUUCAAACCGAUUUUCAACCAAAUCAAACUGAGUUUGACCAGACGCAUUGACCCUUCGUUGACCGGCCGUUGCCCCCGUUGACCGGUCACCAUGGAAGAAAAAACAUGGCAGUUUAGUAGUAUUUUGGGCAUAACAUUUUGCUCGGGAGUCUGAUUGACACAAGGUCAGUGACGUUGGAAACUUGUUCAGUUGCCUACAACUUUGAUGUCAUGAUGUGGCCUAAAUCCAUGCAGUUUGUGCUCAUUUUUCUUGGUUUGGAUUGAUGGAAUUUGAGAAAGUUUGAAUUGUGGUCUUGUUUGGUUUGAUGAUUUGGUGCGAUCGUGAUCAAUUUCUUGAUAGUAUUAUAGUGAUAUGUUCAUUGCAAAUGCUAACGUUUGGGAUGGUUGUCCAAAAUGGAUAAUUCUAGCUUUGCAAUGUGAAGAUUGCUGGAUGUUGAGACGUGAUCACUUUGUCACUCUUGUAUCGAUGGCAUGUUGUUGAUUUUCAUGAGAACUUGGAAUGGCAUCAUGAUGCUUCAAAGUGUGGUUGAACGUAGGUUGUUACUAGGCCUGAGAGUCGGUUAAUUUGGUUACUAACCAUCUGCUUAAUGUUCGGGGAAAAUGAUUUGGAGAUUAAAGUUGGUUAAUCGGUUUAACUGACCGACCAUAUGUAAUGGUUAAAAAGCCGACCAAUAACUGAUAAAUCGGUUAAAUAACCAAUUAUUAACCAACAGAUUAGUCGGUUAAUCCUAUGAACUGACUUUGAUUGAUUGACCGACUAUACCGACUUAACCUAACAAGAUCUGAAUCUCCAUGCUCAUCUCUGCCAUCGAGUGAGCCACGUUCUGCUCAUGAUAACCGUUCGUCCAAGCAUUCAUACUCUACUAAGAAAGCUUGCCAUGGCCGCCACUCUGAACACCGGUCAAAGAACUGAAUACUUGUUCCAAGAUCCGAACUUCCAGAACCGUCUCCAAUCCAUCUUCCCAAUUGUAGUUUGGACAAAGUUUCCUCAUCUGAAUUUUUACUCAAUCACACAACUACAACCUACACGACAACCAUAAUCAAUAGAGUGGAGGGGGAUAGGAUGAAACAGAGGACUGGUUGAAAUUAUAUGGGCCUAUGUUGCAUCCUCAAUAGCUCGUCGUCGCCAAGCCUCACUGAGCCGUCCCCGAGAGAGGAAGAGACGUAGAGUCUAGAGAUCGUGCUUUACUAGUGCUCAACACUCAUGGAGCCGUCACUGAGAGAGGAACAUAAUCCCUAAUGAAUCGUGAAAUCGAGAAUGAACGGGGAUAAGUGAAUAUGUUUGUGUGUGUGUGAGUUUGACCUAAAAAUGGGGGGAUUGGGAAUACGACGUAGACAUUUGGGUUCAGACUUGGGGUUCUUUUGACCGAUUAAUGUUGGUUAACACAAGUUAACUGACGGGUUUUAACCGAUUCACCGUUUAACUGAAGUCAGUUUUUCUCUUUGACCGUCCCCCAACCAACCUGUAGCUCGAUUAAACCUUCCUCUAACUUAUUCGGUCGGUUAAUCAAUUUUAAACGAUUAACCGAAACUGAAUUCCUACCCUUAGUUGUUACUAGGUGCUUUUGUUGCUCCCAAUUGAUGAUUUGUGAUUAUUUCCAUGCUCAUUUAAUUUGCUUCCAUUGCUCAUAUUUUGUCCUACCAUUACCCUUGAUGACUCAUUGGUUACUCACUGUUUUGGUAAAUGGUUCAAAGAAGCAUGAGGCAUAUUACUAGUCCAUUUGUUCCUGUAAUGAUAUAUCUUUGACCUCACCUUUUGGUAUAACUUGAAUGAUGCAUACGUUGUCACUUCAUGCUUUGCAUACACUCUUUAUGCUCGUUCUUGUUCAUUGGACUUGGUCAACAUUUGUGAGGAUUUCUUUGUGGCAAUUGAUGAUAAAUGAGUUAAGGUGGUCCCAUAGCUUUUGCUUACCCUUGUCUUACUAAUUUAUGAAUUAUAGGAUGCUCUUGUUUAGGAUUGCUAGUUAGUCUUGCUUGAGAAUAACUAGUUAUCUUCUUCAUUGGUUUUGCCUUUCUUUUACAUCUUGCCUAUGCCAUGUCUACUUAUGAGCUAUUUAUUGCCUAUCGUUGCCUAAUUCGAUUGGAUGCUUAUUGAGGUGGUUCCUUAGUGGCCGUAGGAUUAUGGGUUGACACCUCUACAUGCUUGAUGUGUAUGAUUAUUCUCCAUUUCGAAAUUUUCAAUGAUACUUUAAAGUCAAAUUUGAAUGCUCUUUACAAAUGUGUCAAUUUUGGCACAGUUUUCAAGGAUUCAUCAUUUAGUGUUUAUAAUUCAUUUUCGUUUUAAAUUUUCGUUUCCCACAUUUACUUUUCAUGUUUUGUUGCUUUUAUUGUUUUAAAUUUUAUUAUUUUUAUUUUAAUAGGCUUACUUUCCUUGUAUAUCCCCAAUUGUAACUUGGUAUCCGUAUUCUCAACUAAAUCAACAAAUGACACCAAAUAACUUAAAAUUGAGAACUAUAAGAGCUCAAAAGAAGGAGAUUUAGCAGAGUCUCUUAUAGGUUUCAAAAAAGCGAGGAAGGAUCUUCAAGUGGAGAGGACCCUUUCUCCUCCCUAACUCCAAUGGCGAACAAAACUCUAGCAUUAGACCACCUAAAGUCAGACGAUAAGCCAUGCAUUCAUCUCGUGGACUUUAUCUUCUAUUGCGACACCAUCAAGCUACACGGUGUUUCUGUUGAGGUUCACAUCGUGUUCCCCUUGAGUUUCAGCAACCAUCCACUCCAAGCACCUUAAAUCAUCCGUCUUAGUUUCUGCUUGUCCCCAAACACCGUACAUCGCAUGUACUUCGUGAUUUUUCCAUUCUUUGAGGCAUUUAGCUCCUCCUUGUACAUCAUACAGUUAUGAAUAAUGCCUCGACGUUGUUGUGUGCCUGAAAUUGAUAAAAAACACAACGCAACAACAUCAAAUGGACCCCAAACGGGUAUGAGACACUAAAUCGAGAUAGAAGUUACAAAUGCACAAAACAUCAUGUCGUGAAUGUUUCGAUCCGCGACACCGAUGGCUUGAAAUAUUUCAGAGUCGCCACCAAUCUGUUGAAGCGGAUUGGACGCUGUCGACAUAACCCAGGUCCUUUUGGACGUGAGUUAGAACAGGUCUGCGGAACAGAGAUCCUGGAUUCGAGAGGCGGUUACGUGCAGGGAAGGAUUAGCACCCCCAUAGCGCCCGUCAAACCGGUACUACUAAAUUUGAUAAGUUAUGUUUUAUUUUCUUAGUUUAGUGGUUUAAUUAUGCUUUAGUUUGGACGCAUAAGGUUAUGUAAAUUUUUUAGAGAAUAUUUUUAUUCAAUUGUAAGUCUUUAUGAGUUCCCACUCUUGUGGAAAUUUUUUUUUAUGUUGAUAAAUAUUUUGAGUUGAACAUUCUUAAUUUAAUUGUUUGGAUUUACGAAUUCCCAUUCUUGUGGAAAUUUUGUUUUACGCUGGUGAAUAUUUUUAAGUUGGUUAUUUUUAAUUUAUAUGUUUGGACUCAAGUCUUACGACUGCCUACGUACCUAAUUCUUUGGGAUCAAAGAUCAUGUAGUUCGUUAUGGAAAAGUUGAUUUGAGGAUUUUUUGUAAUUUUUACUAUUAUAAAAACCACGUUAUCAUGCUCAUUUUUUAUUUGAAAGACAUUUAUUUGGUUAUUUCAAAGUUGGAACUUUAUUUGCCCACUUAUGAUUAAAUGAUAAUUCUACAAAAUUCGAAACUCUUGUCACGGAUACGAAAUUCAUAUAACAUUGCUAUAAUAUCUUUAAAGGAUUAUUAUUAAGGAAAUUUCACAUUUUUUGCCAAUCGAAAAAUUAAUUGGUUUAUAUCAGUUAACUUAAUUUGACAUAAUUAAAAAUGCAUUACAAGACGGUUAACGAACUUACAUUUAAAUAAAUAUGUCACAAGUAUUUUUGGUGAUUUGACAAUUCUAUUGUGGUUAUGUUAAUGUUAAUUAAAAUGAUACGUUGAUUUGAAUAAUUGUAAAGUUUUGAGUUUUUAAGUUUACAACUUUAAGGUAUAAAUAUCAAAUAGGAUUAAAGAAGGUAUGACGUUUAUUCUGUUAUUCUUCCACACUUAUUUCACUUUUAUUCCACUCUUAAUAUGGCCUUAAUGAUAUAUGAAUAUAAUUGAAUCGACUAAAGGCUUGGCCUUUCUAAAUUAAUUGUGCCCAAGCUCGAGCUCGGCCCAACCGAACGAUGAGCCGAACCGGCGGGUAAGAGGAGGGCAGCCCGCGUGCCAAACUGGUCGAACCGGUUAUCCACGGUUCGAUCAGAAAACUCAAAAAGAUGAAAUUGCCCCUAGCGUUCCGUGCGCUGAAGAAGGGUGGCAGGGGAAAUUUUGUAACUUCACCUUAAACCUAAUCGGCCUUAUAAAAGGGCCUCUUAAAUCGAGAAAUGACUCAUUUGCAACUUCCCACUCUCUCUUUAUCAUCCCUCUUUCUAAACCGCCGCCCUUCUCCCCCCCCCCCCCCCCCCCCCCCCCACCCACCUUUAUCACGGAGUGUGCUGUUUUUUUCUAGUUCCUUUCUCUUCUUCUCAGCCGCCCUUUUUUGCCUCCUCUUACCUCUCAGGACCCCUCUUUCUACCUCCGUUUUUUCGAUUUUUCCAGAUUUGGACUUGCAUGUCAUCGGAGGAUACUCCGGUGAGUCCUCCGGCAAAAUGCAAGUCUCGAUCUGUAGAUCUAAUGUUUUAUUUUGGUAUUAAACAAUUUUGGUUAUUUGAGGGUGGUACCGACGGGGGUGGCGGGGAGGUAGAGAAAUGGAAAAAAGAGAAAGUUAGGUAAGUAAGAUUUCUUCCCUAUUCCUUUUGAUUAAUGUCUGGUUAAUUGCUAACGAAGCUAACUACCGGUUUCUUUGAUGACUUUUUUUAUGUCUUUGAAAAUGGGCAUAGUCGACAUGUUUUGGAAAAUGAGAGGAAAAGGAGAAGAUUGCUUUUAGGAGGUAAGACAGCUAAUUUUGAACCCAUUCUAAUUUUUCUAGGUAGAAGUAACAAUUCUAUUUGUUGAUAAGUUGCAUAAGAAACUAGGUUUGUUUUGUUACUGAAGUUGUAGUAGUAGUCUAGGUGUUUUAAAAAGUUUUGUUUGAAAAACUUUAUUUUUUUUACUAUUGUUUAAAUUUUUUUAGCAACAUUGUUUAUUCCAAAAAUCCGUAUUUUAACUCGAUUUUACUAUGAGUUUCAUAGUUCUUUAGGUCUUUGGUGCGAAAAUGAUGAAAGAUGGCUAUAGGUUUCGUUGUUAAUACUUUCCAAUAACUUUUAGUUCAUUUUUGAAGCUUAUUUGAUUGAUUUGUUGGUUGUUUAUUAAAAUGAAUCAUUUAUUUGAUUAGUUGCAACGAAUCAUUGGGUUCAAUAGUAGUUUAGAAGGUUGCUAAGUGAUAUAGCAUAACAAUGUAUAUGUAUGAAUGAUGUGUGAAUGCUUCAGAAUAGGGAUGUUUUGAAUGAUUACCUUCAUUCAAAAUUUCUCUUUUAUCGUAUUUCAGGUGGCGGCGCCUAUCGUGAGUGACGUCAAACCGAUUUGGCGGCUUCUAUGUGUAUGGCGACAAAAGAUGUUGUAAAACUUAUUUUUUUACAGUUUUGUAAUUAUUUCCCGGGACUUUGAACGAGUGAUGUUGGUGUAUUAUUUUUGGGGGUUUUGGGAAGAACUGGGGGACGAAUUUUGAAAACUGUAAGCUCCUCUUUUUGCUGAUUUUUGUCAGUCCAUUUAAAUGCAGAAAGGGCUACAGUCACUUCUUUUAACCAACCACAUCUUGCAAAGUUUUCUGACAAAAAUAAAAGGUGGCAGCUCCCCAAAUAAUAACCGUAACGGGCCCGAUAUUGGGCUUGAAAUAAGGCCUGGAAUCGGGCCCGAAAUCAAAUUGGGUCUAACACAUAAAUAGUUUCGAGAUAAGGGAUUUUGCCGAAUUUCGAGAUAGCGGACUUGAGGUCCACUCAUUUCGGCCGUUUCCGUUUAAAAAGAUCUAAAACAAAAUCGGCUUAGAACAGUCUGUAACAUAAUAAUUACAUCUCGAAAAUAUGCUAUUUGGCUACCAAGUUCUCCCCUAACGUGCACUUUGAUUAAUUUAACUGAAUAAACUUCGCAACAAGUAAAAUCUCGACGCUAAAUCCUUCCUAGAGAUGCUACGACUAUUUAGUGAAAUGACACUGGCGUGCAUUCUUCACUCGAACGAAAUUUGGUUACUACAGUUGUCCCUCUUUGUAUUACUUUCGCUUGGAAGUGGAAAGUGGUACAAAGACAGAAACCAAAUUUCGGACGAGCGCCUGAACUUCUCACGUCAAGUCCACUAGGGUCCAAGGAUCUGCCACAACAUCGGGUAGAAAACAAAAUUUGCAACCUGACCACACAAACAACAUGCAAUGCAUUUCCCUAUGGGUGUUAGGGUGAAUGUACUAGGGACUCAGCUUGACUUAUCUCCCGUUCCAUGGGUUGACUAUACUAGGGACUCAACUCGACUUAUCUCCUGUUCCAAGGUGCAAUCCGCUUUCCCCAGGAUGCUAAGGGUUGAUGUACUAGGGAUUCGACUAGACUUAUUUCCCGUUCCAACGUGCGAUCCGUUUGCCUUAGGACGCUAAGGGUUGAUGUACUAGGGAUUCAGCUUGCUUAGUUCCCGUUCCAUGACUACAAAUGUGUUGAUGAUGAAUGGUUUCGAAAGAGUUUGAGUAAGGCUCCCCCUUUUUGAAAAAAACAUGCAUCUGAUGGCAAUGCUUGAUUGAUAUUUUUCAUCAUUUUCACUCCGACGAGAUUCACUGUUUUGUUUUCUUGUCGCUUAGUUCGCACUACGUGCUAGCGCAAUGGUGUCAACCCUGCUGAUAGCUGGGUAACCUUUAAUGUAUGUGCCCAUUUUUCUUUGUUUUUCCCCCGACGUCUUCAUAUUAUUCCCAUGCCUUGGGAUUUUAAGGAUCUCUUUCCUACUUUGUCUCUACUUCUAGAUAUAAUGGUAAGAUAACGACGACCUUUGUAAAUUUCUUUCUUCGGUUAGGAAUAAGUGGAGAAAUCCUGCCAUCCGGGCUUCUUUUCUUUAACCCUUCCCUUUUACUAAUUUUUUCAUUCUUUCAACGGUUUUCAUUAUUAUUACUAUUAUUUUUCUCCCUUUUGUCUUCACUUUACCGCUAAUUUCAUUUGAAAAGACCUCCUAAUGAUUAAUUAGAGCGAAGGUGUUUGCACGAACGCAUUUGCCUCAAGUUCCUGUGGGGUGUUGUACCUCAUCCAUUUUGUUUGGUGAUGCGUGAACAAUGGUUAGGAGAGUAGUAUUUGAGAAUUCAUGAAGUAUCCAAAACUUAAAGUUGACUUAAAUUAUCACUUUAUUGAUGGAAAACCGAUCACGUAGAUCUCCGUCAGGAACUUUAAGCAUAGUACUUGUUUACUGAAUAAGAGUUAAAUAGGUAAGGGAGCUUGUCUCCGUCCAUGUUUGCCAGUAUUAAUGCCCCCCUGAGAAAGCCCUUUCCCCUACAUAGGGCCCUUCAUAGUUCGGCUUCCACAUUCCUCUUGGGUCCCCUUGUCAAAUGGAAAUCUUCUUCGUUACCAACUCUCCUUCGCGAAAUUCCCGUGUUUCACUUUUUUUUAAAAGAUCUGAUAAAUCUGCACUGAUACAGGCGUUAGUGGUGGAUAGCUGCCAACCUUUUCUCAUCAAUUUAAUUUAACUGGUCGUAUGCCGCUUUUACCUACUCAACUUGUUCUAACUUCGCCUCCAUGAUAACCCUUAGUGAAGGCAUUUCUACGUCCAUGGGAAGCACUGCCUCCAUCCCAUAGACCAAUUGGUAAGACGUCGAUCCCGUUUAGGUUCUUACUGAUGUUCAGUAACCGUGCUGGGUAAAUGGUAGAAUUACGUGCCAAUCGCGGUCGGUAACGACCAUUUUCUGUAUGCUUUUCUUGAGGUUUAUUGUUUGUCAGCUCGACCGCUCCGUUCAUCUUUGGUCGGUAUGGUACCGAGUUGUGGUGCUUAAUCUUAAACUUGUUGCAAAGCUCAUGCAUCAUCUUGUUGUUGAGAUUUUUCGCAUUGUCGAUUAUUAUUCUUUCCAGGAGCCCAUACUAGCAAAUGAUUUCCUUUUGUAUGAACUUUUUGACAACGCUCUUGGUAGUGUUUGCAUAUGACACAACCUCGACCCAUUUCGUGAAAUAGUCGAUGGCUACUAGGAUGAAACGGUGCCCAUUAGAUGCUUUUGGUUCAAUCAUGCCUAUGACCUCAUGAUGCAAAAGGCCAAGGCGAUGCCAUAAUGUGCAACGAUGAUGGAGACACGUAUUUCUCACCGGCAUAAACCUGGCACUUAUGGCAUUUUCUCACGUGUUUUACAUAGUCAGAGUUCAUCUUCGUCCAAUAGUAACCCAUCCUUAAUAUCUUCUUAGCUAGCGCAUGACCACCGACAUGUGUGCCGCAGACUCCCUCAUGGACUUCUUUUAUUGUUCUCUGAGAUUCAGGGGCAGCUACACAUCUUUGCAGCACAAAAUCAUGGCUUAGUCUGUAGAGGGUAGUCCUAUGAACAUAGUAACCCAUCUCCAAUCUCCGUAGAGUCCUUUUAUCAUUUUCAGAUGCCCUAGCUGCGUACUCCCUUUUAUGUAGGUAGGUCUUUAUGUGAUGGUGCCAGGGAUUCCUCAUGCUCUUUUUGGACUCUACCUAGGUAGGCAGGUGCAUUUUUCUUUUUGAUUUUGCUUCAUGGGUUAACCUCGGUCUCGUCCAGUUUGUACAUCGAGGACAAUGUGGCGAGAGCAUCCGCUAUUUGAUUGUCGACUCGCGAGAUGUGCUCAAACUGUAUCGACUCAAAUUUUGCGGCCAUUUCCCCUAUGUAUUUAUGGAAUGGGACAAGCUUAUGACCCCUAGUUUCCCAUUUUCCUUCAACUUGUAUAUUACUAGCGCUGAAUUACCAUAUGCCUUCAAAUUCUUAAUAACCAUUUCGAGGGCUCCUCGGAUCCUGAAAGUGCACGAUUGGCACUCUGUUAUGUUGUUGGUGCAAUCGAAGCAAAUUUUGGCAGUAAUAGGGCACACCCUCCCUUCAGAAGAGACAGAAACGACGCCGACGCCCUGUCCCAAUGAGUUUGAGGCCCCGUCAAACUUCAUCACCAAUGUUUUUUGGACGAAGCCUUCCACUAAUUUCUCAGUGUUCAGUAUAGUUUCAUCCGGAAAUUCCAUUAACAUCGGAUUCGUGUCCGAGAUUGCAUGCUCCGCUAGAUGUUCUGCCACUACACUCCCUUCAAUGGCCUUCCUUCGGAUAUAAACGAUGACGUAUUCUGCCAGCAGCACUUGCCAUUAGCCUAUCCAUCUGGAGAGGGCCAACUUUUCGUGGACAUCCUUGAUAGGGUUCAUUUUUUAUAUUAGGAGCUUCGUGUGAUAUAACAUGUACUAUCUCAGCCUUAUGGCUACCCAUACAAGUGCUCCGCAAGUUUUCUCGAGCGAUGUAUAUCGAGAUUCGUAGUCAUGAACUUCUUGCUGGUGUAAUAUAUUGGCGCGCUCUUUCCUUCCCGAUUCAACAUGUUGGGCCAACAUCGCGCUUACCAAAUUUUCAAAUACCGUGAAGUACAAUAUUAGUGACCUUCUAGAAGUUGGUGGGGCCAGAACCGGAGGGUUUAAUAAACACCCUUUGACUUUCCGAAAGGCAUGAUGACAACCUUCAUCCCACUCGACAUUCCGGUUCUUCUUUAAAAGCUUGAGAAUGGGUUCACACGUUAAGCUCAAAUGCGAUAUGAACCGACUAAUGUAGUUCAAGCGUCCUAAGAAUCCUAGCACCUCUUUAUGCAUUUAGGGAGGAGGUAUGUCAACCAUUGCCUUCACUUUGUCAGGGUCCACUUCAAUCCCCUUUUGGCUAACCACGAAACCGAGCAGCUUCUCCGAGGUGACUCCGAACGUACACUUUUCUGGGUUCAGCCAGAGCUGGUACUUCCCGAGUCGCUCGAGCAAUUUUCAUAGCACAGUUACGUAGUCGUCUUCCUUUUAUAACUUUGCUAUAAUGCCAUCCAGAUAUACCUAUAUUUCUUUGUGUAUCAUGUCAUGAAACAGUGUGACCAUGGCCCGCUGGUAAGUUGCCCUAGCGUUCUUCAGCCCAAAAGACAUAACUUUAUAGCAAAAGGUUCCCCAUAAAGUGAUGAUGGUCUUUUUUUCUCGAUCAUCCGAAACAUCCUGAUAUGGUUGUAUCUUGAGAAACUGUCCAUGAAAGAGAACAUAUUAGUUGACGGUAUUAUCAACGAGGACAUUUAUGCGAGGCAAAUGGAAGUUGUCCUUUGGGCUUGCCCUAUUUAAAUCUCUGUAGUCUACGCACAUUCUCAUUUUUCCAUUCUUCUUAGGCAUAGGGACCAUAUUAGAGAUCCAAUCGGUGUAUUACGCCACCUGUAAGAACCCGAUUUCGUAUUGUUUCUGCACUUCUUCCUUAAGUUUGAGUAUCCAUUCCGGUUUCAUCCGCCAUAACUUUUGCUUUACUGGCUUGCACUCCUCCUUUAUUGGCAAGUGAUGUGUUACUAUUGUUCAUCGAGGCCCAACAUAUCUUGAUAAGACCUUGCGAAAACGUCCUAGAAGUUCUGGAGUAGUUUGACGAGCCUGUUCUUUUCUGCUUGGUCUAAACUGUCCCCUACCUUAACCUGUCGCCGAUUGUCCUCUGUUCCCAAAUUCACGACCUCUACUGACUCGUAGAAAGGUUUCAAGGAUCGCUCUUCUUAUCCUGCCAUCCAAUCUGUUUCUAGGUUAGAACCAUCACUGGCUUCCUCGGUUUCCAUCUCAUAAACUGGGUGGUGAAAGUCAACUUUAGUGUUUCGUACCUCUUCAUUGUUUUCAAACACAUCUGUAACCCUGUUACGUGACGGGAAAUAGAAAAGGGAAAAAGAAGAAAAGCGGAAGUGAAUAAUAUAGACGAUGCACGGAUUGAGACUUAUGAAAACAUGCUUUAUCAAACAUGUGAAAAUGUGAUACAUGCAUUCAGGAUCACUUAAAAAACACUAGGAAGCCCUUGCUUAUUUUAUUUAGUAGUCAUAUUUUAGAGUUAUUACAUCUGCAAUGGCGAAAGUAACUCCAAAGCCUCCCAAUUGCUUAGCUCUUCCUUUGGACGGAGCUGCCGCACCCAUUUUAUUCCGGUCAUAAUUCCCGUACCCAGCAUGCUGAUGAAGAGAUCUGCAAAAUCCGACUGUAACUCUUUGGUGGUCGGAUCAGUGUAGUUUUUCCUCACAUUUAUCUUUCCAGCAUUCUUGCUUGUGAUGUGAGGUAUGAAAGUCAGGCCUUCAUCAUCUUCUGUCCCACUUAACCUGGACACCCUCCUCCUUAUCCGUUCCUUUUGGAUCCUCCUUAUAUCAUCAUCGUUUAGAAUGUAUCGCAAUCCCGCACGGUUCUUAUUUUCUUUGACCUGGAUGGGUUCUUUCAGCACCUCCUGCCAUUAGUAUCAUAGAUUCCAUACUCGAUAUUAAUCUAACCGAUGUCUCGAGACUAAUUAGAGUUAAUUACCAAGUGCAUUAAUAUAGUACAAUGAUUAAUCUGAAAAUUAAUUCCAAAGCGGAUCGACAUUCCGCCCCUCUCUCAAGUGUAGCGGAGACGACGAUAGACCUUGGCGUUUGGGGAUUUAGUCUCACUUUCGUAUCUAAACCAAAUCCCAACAAUAAUCUUACAACUGGAAUUCGACAAUUACAAAAUAAAGCAGUAGCUAUAUGCAAGAGAAAGACAAUAACGAAAUUAAUGAUAGUUCCGCUUAACACAAUCGAAAUUAUGUCGUAUUAACACAUAAUCAAGGUUUCAUCAAUUUCGGACAGACAGCUUAGUUACACAUGGUGAUCAAAUUAAAAACACAGAAAUCAAGAUAAUACAUGAACCUGGAGCUCCAUGCUUCAUGAACGCUCUGCCGUCGUAAAAUUCAGCAAUGUAGGCGGUCCGAACGGAAGUUCCGAAAUGGAUUUCUUCACCUUCGGAGCUCGAAAUUGCAUGCGGUUUGAAGUGGCAUGUUCCUGGGUUGAAGAAGGACGUCUUGGGGCAGAGUAGGAAGGCUUGCGGGUCUGAUAUGGUGUGUGUAUGGUGUGAUUUCGAAGUGGACAUGACUUGCCCUUAUAUAGGCUCGAAAAAUGGCGUAUUAAGGCCUCCGACAUGGGCAUACCAACUCCAUCAUCUGUAUGCAAGCUGUAGCUGUCCCUGGACUGAUGAUGGACGGAUCUACAUGUGCUGGACGUCCUCAACCAUGCCCGGUUAUCCUUCCGGCGAUCGGUUGAGCGGUGGAUUGUAAAACGGGUCGUAACUUCUUCGUUGCAAAUCUGAUUUAGCUCCGGUUUGUAUCGUUGGAUUUUUAAUUCAUCCCUUUAUAAUACGUGACCUGAAAUUUUAUUAAACACACUAGAAGAAAUAUAAAAUUGGACCAUAAAGGUCCAAGGGUUGAAUUUACGGAAUUAAGUGCAAUAUAACUGAUAUCCGUCGAAACUUUUGUUUGCAAUUGAUAUUAUGACUUGAAGUGUAGAAAGUUUAGUGCCAAAUAUUACGGUAUGUUAUGAUGUGAUCAAAAUACCCCACACUUAAACUUUUCUUGUCGUCAAGAAAACUGUAACUUAACCCACACGAAAUACCAAAGAUAGUUACCAUCAUUUAUACAAGGUUUAGGAAAUGUAAUUUUACAAUUUACGAUGCAACAGAGGUUAAAUGCUUGGCCACAUCGGUGAGAUAAAUCUCUAGUUAGAAAUUCACGAGACAGUGCACACCAGAUUAAUCAAGAUUCAAAUGCUAAAAAUAAAAGGGUUAAAUGCAUUUGUUGCAACUAUAAGAUUCAUUUUGCGCUUCCUUACGAAAUUAUGAAAUUUUAUUUCUUUUUUAAAGUUUCAAAAUUUUGAAUAACCCGUAGCCGAGCAAGACUAGUGAGUACUAUACUCAACCUUUUAACACAUUUCAUUCUUCCCACACACACCUCAAUUAAGUCCCGUAUGGGAGGCAUCUAAACUGGCUGCCUAAUUGGCAGGGCAGCUAAUGCAGAGGUGCUAGUCCUCUACCACACGCGUUAAGUUAAUCAUUGAAUUAUUGAGACAAAUUAAAGAAGCAUUUUGAUUUAAACAUUUUUUUAUGGCGAAAGUUGAAUCCAGUUUUGAAUUUGCAGAUUUAAACCAAACAUUUUAAGCAUUUGCAUCAAUUAAUCCGAGAUGUACUAAAUACAAAAAUGAAAGUCUAGUAAAAACAAGUGGUCAUUCCGCAACAACUACCAUGUCACCCAUAAUCGUUACAUUCCCAUUGUCUAUUUUAAUGUGAUCCCUAAAUUGGUAGAUGUGUAACCGCUAGUACUGUUUGUGAGGAGAUUAAAGUAAAGUACGGAUGAAAUGUUGAAAAAAAUUUAAAACACCUCUCGUUACACCAUCACCCAACACUUGAAUUAUACAUUGCCCUCAAUGGACUAUGAAUCUGGGAUAAGAGGGAAACAAGUAUACCGAGAUAUCGAGAAUGACAAUGCCAAAGUAAACUGCUCUAUAAUACCUGUCUGUCGGAUGAUAACGGUAACACAGUGAUAACAAAACAAAACAAAACUCAAAACACAUUUGGCAAAUGCCACAACUAAAAAUCAUACUAAAUCACACCACACAAUGAUGCAGAUCCAAGAUAAAUAUAUUCGAAAAUGUUAAUAUUUUGAAAUACAUCAAAAAGAAGAAGAGAAAAAUACACAUCCUAGAUCGAAAAAUCAAUCAUAACUAUCGGAUCAUAUUCAAAAUUUUGGGCAGAGUCAAGAUGAUUUUAAGGGUCUUGGAUGAUUUUAUUGAAUGAAAUAAGAAACUUGGGUUGUCUCCCGAGGACCACUUUUUUAUCGUCUUUAAGUUAGAAGUUUCCAAGAAAAUUAUUUAAUUAGCCAGGUGAAACACCUCAUGGAUGGUGAGAGAGUCGCUCGCAAGGUAGAGUUUCAACCGAUGACCAAUAACUUUAAACAUACCAUGAUCAGGGCUCGAGAUUUCAACAAUUUCGUAAGGAAGAACUUCAGUCACUGUGAAUGGGCCCAACCAAUGGGAUUUAAUUUUCAUGGAAAGAGGCGAAUCCUAGAAUUAUAUAGGACUAUGUCUCCCGGACGAAAGUGUUUUCCAGGUUUUAACCUUGCGUCAUGAAGACGCUUUGUCUGUUGCUUAUACAAAUUGCCAUUUUAAUAGGCAUGAAGAUGGAAUUCCUCCAGUUCAUGUAUGUGGAACUGAUGGCGAGGUCCAGCGACACUCAUAACAAGGUUUAGAGAUUUAAAGGCCCAUAAUGCCUUAUUCUCUAACUCAACAAGCAGAUGUCAUGCCUUUUCGUAGAAGAGACGGUAAGGGGUAGUGCCGAUAAGAGUUUUAAAAGUGAUAUGCCCAAAGUGCAUCGUCCAACUUUUUUUACCAAUCCUUGCGAGUCCAGGUGACAGUUUUCUCCAAAAUCUACUUAAGUUCUCGGUUCGUUACUUUCGCUUGACCACUAUUAUGUAGGUAGUAACCAGUGGACAGACGAUGAGUGAAACCAAAGCGGCGACACACAUGAUCAAACUGUCCCUGACAGCGGGUUCCUCGAUCGCUGAUGAUAGUGCGAGGUGCUCCAAACCGAGUGAAAAGUAGUUGCACAACUGGCUUAUAAGCUAGCCUCUUCCAUAAGAACUUUGUGGGUAAAAAAAGAGGGAGAGAUGCUUCGAAUAUCAUAGAUUUUCCAAGAAAUGGCCUUAAUAUGCUCUUUUAAAAGGGUGAUGAGACGUCCCUUUUAUUCCGGAAUGAGGGAGGCAAUGAUACUGACUAGAAGCUUCGAGUAAUCCAUCAGAAAAGCAUACUUGAGGUGCUCCGGUAGUGCUUUCAUCUUCAAUAUUGGAGGCUCCUCAUAUGAGGGUUUGACGGGCUCAAUCCUUGAGAGCUUGACAGGAGGUUCAGGAGCAGAGUCUUAGCAAUCUGCUCAAGUUGUUGUACCUCAUCAGAAGCAUCCCAAACACCAAAAUAAAAGGCACAACUCGAGAGGGUCUUAGCAAAUGCCCUCAGAUAAGAAGAAUACUGAUCCAACCUCAAUGGAGUCAGCAGGAUAGUUUCAGUCAUCCUGGACAUGGGCAUAUUUCAUCCUGUCAGCAUGGCGAAAUGUGGCCUUUCCUUGACCUACUUGAAGAGUAAGCUCGCCUUCAUGGACAUCAAUGAUGGUGCGAGCCGUAUUUAAGAAUGGGUGGCCAAGAAUGAGGGAGGCAUCUGAUUCAUUGGUGUCAAUGAUAACAAAGUCCACCGAAAAGACAUAAGGUCCCAUCUGCAUAAGUACAUCUCUCAGGAUUCCACGACAAAUUCGAGUGGACUUGUUAGCCAACAGGAUGGUCAAUUGAGUCGGUGUUGGUUCUCCUAAAUCGAGCUGUUGGGAUAUCUUGCAUGGCAUUAGAUUGAUACUUACCCCAGAGUCAGCCAAAGUCUUAUCCAUGCAGGUGUUGGUGAUAUAGUAACAUAAGGUGAAAGAAUCGUGAUCCUUAUGUUUCUUAGGUAGCUGGUUCAGAAUGGCAGCAUAACAUUCAACAUCAAGAGUAACAGACUGAAUCUCAUCCAAUUUUCUCUUAUUGGUCAGAAUCUCCUUUAGAAAUUUCGAGUACUAGGGCAUUUUGGUAAUUUCCUCAAUAAACAGGAUAAUGCCAUUUGCCGUAAUCAUAAGUUCAAUGAACCUUUUGUAACUGGCACCCAUCAUAUCACUCCUUAGACGAGAAGGAUAAGGAGGUUUUGGUUUGUAGGGUGGUAACUCUGGCUUAGGGGGAGAUGGUUACAGUAGCCUUUGGAUAGGUGGCCGAGGUGGCUUUCUCAUCCUUCUUCUCGACGCUAAAGUCAAUGAUCAGCGUUGGAGGAAUGAUGACAGGUGUGGACUAUGGAAUGGGAGGAUCCUUACUGGUGGUUCCACUCUUGAGGGUGACACCUUCACAAGAUUCCGAAGUGUCAAAUCCUUCAUUAGUAACAAAGAUUGCUUUUGAUUCUUCUUGCAUAGAAUUGUUUUCUGUGUUGCUAGGGAGAGAGCCUUGUGGUCUCUCACUAAGAAUUUUGGAAAGAUUUUUCAAUUUCAAUUCAAUGUUAUGGAAAGUGGUUUGUUGCCCACGGAUAAUCUUUUCCAACCUCUCGAGUCUGGAAACUUCAUCAGACUUGGAUGUAGAAGAGGCUUGAAUAGGCGGUUAUUCAGGCUUUUGCCCAAAACCAGGAGGUCAUUGGUUAUUAGUAUAGUUCCUCGAUUGAUAGCCUUGAUUAAGACGAGAGGCAGAGUUUCCUUGGUUGAAGGUUGAUCUGUAAUAGGCAUGUUCAUCUAAUUUGUGAAUGUUUUGCUGUUGUGACGGUCCUGAGCAUUGGGUAUCAUGGUUGGUUUGGUAAGAGUUUUGGAAAGACUUGGAUUUAACUUGAUUUCAAAAGUUUGAGUUUUAAUUUUGACCAAAAAUUUAUCAAUCUUGUGGGUAACCACCACCCAAAAAGUCAACUUCUUCUGUCUGGUUAAAAACGGUAUCCCCAGAGUAACAGUCAGUAGAAUCACAUCCUUGAUCCCCUCAAGCAACAUAGACAAAGAUUAUUGCCGUCGAAUUCUAUAGGGUCCUGACGUUCAGCUUGCUCACUUUUUGAGAAAGCGCAUGCAGCUGAGAGAGAACGGGAGAAAUAACCGUCCCAAGGGUUUCAUGACGAAUCACAAAGGAUGAAGUGGUAGGCGGGGUGCUAUGAUGCUUCCCAUGUUGCCUAGUCAAAGUAUGACUACACAUAUCACAUCCAGCAGCCAGGUUGAUCAUUUGUGUGCUUUCCCGAUUGAGCCUUCAAUUGAAAAUAUCGGCUUGGUUUCGGUCAUCGAAGCUGUGAUGAGCGCAAGAGCGGAGGAGGGCUUGGAAUCGAUUGCAUGCUUCAUAUAAUUGUUCAUUAUCUCAUUGCAUGCAAUGGAUAAUUCUCUCUUUUAUCUCACCGCGCUUCUAUGGAGGAAAAAAUACCUUGAGAAAGGCUUUAGCGGGACCGUCCCACAUGGUAAAACUCCCUACUGGUUGAGAAACAAGCCAGAUUUUUGCAGCUCCCUUGAGAGAGAAAGGGAAACGCUAGAGGCGAAUGGCAUCAUGGUGCACCUGUUGGAGUUGUAAGGUGUCGCAUAUUUUGAGUAAGUAUUUGAUAUGUUGGGUGGAGUUAUCGUCCUCUUUCCCCAAGAAUUGGACUGUUUGUUGGACCAUGUAGAUCAUAGCGGGUCGCAAUUAAAAAUUGUUGUCUUCGACGUGGGGUCGGGCGAUGGAGGACCCCAGGUUCUAGAGACUUGGUUUGGCAUAAUCGCCAAGUGUCUUCUCUUCAGCCAUGGUGAAGGAUCCUUUGGGGGAAAUGCUUACGUGAUCUUCGCCAGAGUACUCAUCCUUGGAAUCCGUUCUACCGAGAGCCGGAGGUGCAAUUGUAAUUCCUUCAAGGACAUGUUUAGAAAAUUACCAAGUAAUCCGUCGAGUCAUUCAUUUGACCGAAUAGGAGUUUGGAAGAUGGGAGGAGAGAGGGAAGCAGAAUGAAUGAAUUCGUUGAGUUUUAGGUUUUGGAGGUUUGAAGAAGAAGUUUCGAGAGAGUGUUAAAGAAGGUGAGUGGGAAGAUUAUGGAGUACUUUACUUAGAAACGCCGCCUUGUUGCCAAAACCAAAACUUUCAUUUCAGUUCCAAGGAAAGUAGGGGAGUCACUCAGACUACUUAAAUCCCUUUAAACUUUAGGUAGCAUCUCUUUACGAAAGCCAAAAUAAUCCUCUCAUCUUUUUUAAUUCUCCUUUCUUAUGAUUUUAAAUUUUUUCUAUUUUUCUAUUUUUAGUGUUUAAAUUCAUAUAAAUGAUUGGUAGCAGAUUUUUUUAUUUUUUAAUUAUUUAUUUGGAUUUUUUUGUGGAAUAGGAAAGAUUCGGAGAUGAGUGGAAGAUAUGGAAAAGAUUGAGAGUUCAGUUGAGCAAGAUAAAAUAUUGAAUGGCUGAAAUGUAGAGAGAGAAAAGUUGAGUGACCAAGAGGGGAGCAUGGGAAAUAGUAUCUAGAAAAUAAAUAUAAAAUAAUUUAAGAAAAAGUAUUAUUAUUAAAAGUGAAAAUUUAGUAACUGUUUCGUACAAAAGGAACGAGGUCCACGACAACGACGCCAAAAUUUGAUCACCCCCGUAGGCAAGUUUAAAGAUAAACUCGGAAAAACCGAGGUCGUAUUCACGCGGAUUCAUUCCGAGUAUUACUCCUGAAAGUGCGAAGAUGAAAGUCUAAUCGUUGGAAUAGCGGGUAUGAAAGCACACAAAUCGCAAUCGAGUAUAAUGGAUGAGUGAAACCUGUCCGGAAAUGAAUUCACCAAGAAUCAGAGCAAGGAUGGUCAUUGUAACCCUUCUUCCUUGUUGCAGUUUCAUCAUGAUAGGCUACACCUUUUGUUGUUAGAUUAGGGAUGAUGUGGAUGCAAGGAGAAUCCCCUCAUAAUGAGGGAUUGGACAAGAUUUGGAUGAUUUGUGGGCUUGCUUUGGAUGAAUGUAGGGAGAUUGAUGCAUGUACACACUUGAUUAAACUAGGAGUGUAUCAUUGAAUGAGAAAUUGGUAGUAUACGAGGACCUUCCAUACCCAAUUCAUCCAUCUUUUUUUGUAAAUUGCAUUGACGCAUUUAAUCAAACAUUUGGCGUGCAUUUUGGUUCUUUCUUAGUGGACCAAACUAGGUUUAGAUAGAGUCAUUGGGUGUUGAUGUGACCACAUUAGCAUCCUUCAUAGGUGUUUGGGGUGCCUUAUUUCCUUGUGCAUCAUCAUAUUAUUCCGAUUGAACAUCAUUGAAUGCACUUUUGGCUUAUAAGUUGUUUGUGACCACAACAAGUUAUAAGGUCCAUUGGUACUGUUAGAUAUGACCAUGCAUAUAGACUUUAACGAAUAGGAAUGCAUGGAAGCUUGUAUAGUUUGGUACCUAACAUUACACUUUGGUCAUAAAAUACCCAUCACAUAAUCAUAAAAUAUUCAUAACAUUUGGUUUAUGUUUUUCUCGCAACUCUUUUUGUUGGAUUUAAUAAUCACCACCAGGAUGCCGUUUUUAGAGUCUGUUUAAUGUAUGAUGAUAGAAUUAAAUCAUUUGAUUGGUUAUUCCGUACAUUUUUACAGUGCCUGUGAGGGAAGGCACCCAAACCAUUUUCUCAAAUCAGGACCCGACCAUGGAUGCGGCAUUGAAGAGUGCCAUGCCAAAUACAUACCACGCGACGGCGGUGGGGUAUGAUAGGAAUCCUCUGUCGACACACCCUAACUGUGAUGCAUGUCAUCGGGAGGUUUGAAAGCGAGAAGUUCAACACACUUCCCGCAUAUACAUGUUGAGGAGAUGGACUAGAGGAGCCAAAAUUCGGUUUCAUGACAUAGUUAUUACGCGGCUCCUCUCUCAGGAUGGUGAGGAUGGUGAAAGACUUGCUGAAGUUUGUUUCUAUGAUUAGGGUUGUUUAUAGGGUCGAUCAGUUUCAUAAUAUGUUGGAUGUUGUGGUAGAUGGGUUGGCCAUUCAGGUAUGCAGUAAUCAAAGUAUACUUAUUUGUUAUAUUCACCGUACAUGACUUGUAUAUGGUCAUAAUAUACCUAUUAUGAUAGUGGUAUUUCUGUAGGUUGAACAAGCAUUGACCUUGUAUGAUGGACAACAGCCAAGGGAAACUGUGGUGGCAGAUAGAGAUACCACCAGCGUUGCAGUCGCUACGUGUUGUAGUAGUGUGAUCAGGAGAGAGAUUGCAACGAAGUACACCCCGCAGAGCAGACCAAGUAAGAACAACCAGCGUGGGAAACAUAUCACAGAUACGGUCGCAUGAGGCAGUGUAACAAGUUUAGGAAGAUUCGUGCAAAGGAAGUUCAAUCCGAACAAGCAGUCGCAAUGGACGUGGAAAUGGAGGACUUACUCAAUAAUGAUGUUAUACAUCAGUGCAUCGCAUUUUUGCAGGCACAGGAGAGCACCACUGCUACUGGCAACCCCCCUCGAUUGAGAGUGGCCCUUGAUAGGGUAAUCGUUAAUUAUUUAAUGGUCAUUAUGGAGAAAAGCCUACCUGUAACGCUAGCAGAACUGUAGCAUUAUAUAUGUACACUAGUCACGUAGUUAUGUAAGAACAUUGCCAUAUUAUGGGUAGAUCAGUGACAUAUUUUUGGUAAAACAGUACCAUAUUUUGGUAGCACAGUCUUGUAGUGUUGGAAGAAUAGUGGCAUAUUUUGGGAUGUAGAAGAAGACACAUUGUUCGGAAUUAUAAUAUUAUAUGUGGUGCUAGUAUUGACAUAUUCUGCUACAAGGAUUACACCAUGUGGUAGGUCCACUUCAAGGAAUACAACAAGGAUACUACUGUUACCCUAAACAAUAGGCAUAACAUCAAUGUACAAUAGCCAUAACAACGUUACACAUACUUUCUUAGGUUCAAACUGCCAACCAUUGUUCUUCAAAUGGAAAAUGUGACCUUCAUCGCCAUGGCACUCAAAUGGAAGGCCGUCUGGAUGCUCUGAUAUGAUAGUGCGAAUGACGUUCCCUGCUUCCUUGAAAUUGACUUUAGCCUUCCAAAAGGUAUCCUUCCACAUUUCAAUCCGACUGACCAAGUCAACGUGGCUGCUCCUUUUGUCUCCAGAGUGAAUGAUACCUUGGUCCACGAGGCUCCCCUAUCAAUGAUUUCCAUGCAUAAUACAAACACCCACUACUGUACUAGUAUCAACCAGAACUGAAAGUAUACAUAUCAUUUUUCAUAUUCAUGCAACCUUACUUUCCAAUCGUGACAUUCUAGUAAGUCUCUUGUAAAGCUCCCCAUACACAUAAACUAUGCUCUUAAAUAGGGCAUAAUUCAGAAACCAUUUAUAACGAAACCGUAAGAGUAACAUGGUACUAGCAUACCAUACACAUAUCCAUAACAUAACAUAGAUAUCUAACUAGGAGGGUUGGUCGAAGUUCCAGCUUCUAUGAGGAGGUCCACUACCCCUUCAAUUAAAAUAUGGGGAUGAAGUCGACUCCAUUGUGAGAGGACCAGGCGACAGAAGUACUUGAGCAUGUCCUUAAUCAUAACGUUCUCCUCAUCCCACCACUUCGUUUGGUCCGUUGUAAAACAACCAAUGUGUUGCCCCAUAAAACGAAGUGCCAUACAGGCCACACCUGUGAAUGUCAGGCUUUUGUGGCGCAGACACCACCCUCAACUUGAAGUCCUUGAUAUCCACGUGAGUGUUAAGAAGAACAAAUGACCUCGCAUAUUGCAUUAUCUGUGUUCUUGUCGGCUUGUUGUAUGGCUUGGUCUCAAAGUCCUUCUUAUAGAUAAGGCUAUUGAGAAUAACUCUUUCCUUUUUCUCCAUGUCCAACCCAAAGACAUAGAAGUGCUUGAAACUAUUUCCCCUUAUGUUGGGAAGAAGACCGAACACACAAAUAUAAUAUAGUAAUCACAUCAGAUUGUAUAUCAACUGCAUACCACAAAUACAAUACAUACAUAUUUCACGGAACUCAAGCCCUGGAGGUACUUCUUAUUUAAGAAAUCCUUGCAAGUUGGUGGGAAUUUAGAUUGAGUUAGUGAAAACUCAAUCUCAUUUUCAACUUUUGUCCUAGCAGGAGUUUGAAGCCAUAACACAGUCUAACUACACACAUAAAAAAUCACACUUACUAACAAGGAAUAGUCAGAUUAUACUCAUAACACAGUUAAAUUGGCAACAUAACAGAGGCAAAUUGUAUUCAUAACACACACAUAACAUAGAAAGACAGUUAAGUAACUUUGACGAUUCAAACAAUACUUGUAGUAAUUGAAAUAAGCCCAUAUAGUCUUUUUAUUGUGUUGUUGUUAGCCAGUAAAUUGUCAUUAUUGAACUGGUUGCAGAAUGCAUCAAUCAGUUUUGAUGUGCACCUGGUUUGAAUAAUAGACGGUCUCCAACUCAAGCUUCAUGACUUCCAUGCCUUUUUUUCCGGAAAGUCGCAUAUAAUGCAGCUGUUGAUAGGAAACAAUACUGCACUAGUUGUAGCCAUAACACAAAUGUAACACAAACGUAACAAAACGUAACACAAAUGUAACACAAAAAUAAAGGAUAUAUAACAUAGUGAGAAAUGAUAUGUACUCCCUUUCAACACUAGAUAUGGCAUAAGUUACUAUCUUGCUCUCAACUAGUGUUAAUUCAUGUUGAAGUCUAUUUGUGAGAACGAUCUUCAUGCUAGUCUUUUGUCGGUAAUAUGCAAUUGGAAUUGGAUUCUCUGAAUCACCUACCAAGUCCACUACAACUUGUCUCCACCCGGAGUUGCCUUUGUCGAUCCACCCACUAACUCCAAGAUGGCUUCUUUUGCGGUCAUUCUGUUGGUCCACUUCAACUUCCUUCUAUUUUCCUUGGCAACCUGCUCCUCUUCCUUUUCCUUUUCGGCUUCAUUAUCUUCAACCUUCUCUUCUUUCUUUUCUUCAUCCCUAUCAUCUGACUUCUCAUCUUACUUUUCGUCUGCAUUUGCAUCCUCCUCACAGUCACUACCAUCACAAUUUUCACCCUUGUUGUCAUCAUCAUCAUCAUCAUCAUAACCAUCGUCAUCUUCCUCCUCAUCUUCACCAUUGUCUUUAUCAUCAUCAUCACCAUCGUUAUUGUCCAUGAAAUCACCGUAGCUCUCGUCUUCAAACUCAUUACGAAACUCCACGUCAACAACUCCCUUGCCCUUCCCUAGUAAUAGGUUCUGGACAGACGCACUCCUAUCCAGUCACAACUAUAAUUAGCAAGGCAGUUGUCCUGCAUUGCACCUCGAUCGUCGCAACCUCUGCUAACAAUGUUUGCUGCAAUCAUGGUAUGAAGAUGCCUUCAGAUUAACCCAUAUACGAGAUAUAUAACACUUAGGUAAUUCAAAUAUACCACCAUCAGAACAGUACAAUAGUCGUGAAAAGCAGUUCACUGGCACAUAACAGAACAACAACAUAUCUUACGUUUAACGUCCAUAGAACAUUGUAAUAACACCCAUGGAUCAGUUACCUGUUAUGAAGAUGCAAGUUGUACUAUCGCCGUCUACUUGUCCAUUCUAGGGUUCGUUAAUCAUGUUCCCCUAUGCUGAUGCACAUUCACCCCAAAGGUAAGGAAAUCUAGCUCGAGACUUUGUCGAAAAUGUCUUGAGCCUAAGUGGGAGUAAUAGGUUUCAAGCCAGCUACAAGAGACGCCCUCUCACUCAACAUGAAUGACCAGCUGCCGUUAGGAGUACUUAUCCUUCUCAUCAUUUUGAUGACAACAUCGCAUCUUAGUAGGAACAAGUGGGAUGCUCUUUCGGAUCGAUACCAGAAAGAUCAACCAUGUCCAGAAAAUGCAGCUGACACAAACAACCGAGGAUAUCAAGAUUAGACAAUCAACCAACAGUAGUCUGCAUCAACAUAAGAACACUGUACAACUAUUAUAACACAACGAUAGCAUAAAUAUAAUAGCAAUAUAACUUAACAGUAACACUUACCACCAUGAAGUUCAUGUCCCUGCUGGGAUAGGACGCCUUCUGAUUCUUAUAGUAGUCCUCCAGACCUCUUAGCAGAUGAUUUGAGACGUCAGCCGCCCAAUUAGGAUUAGCAAUCUCAAAGUUGUGAAGGUGAAGAUACUUGGAAAACUUCAUUAUAACCCACCGGGUAUUUGUUGGAACAAGCAACGACUCAAGGGCAAGCAACAUGUACAACUUUGUAUAAGCCGUGGGAUCUUUACAAUUCUUCAUUGCAGCUUGGAGUUGAACUAUGUUGAUGUGAUUGUACUUAUUGCUCUUUGUACCGGUCACCCUUUCAAACUGCUUCAAUACCCUUAGCCCGAAAUGUUGGACAUCCACGUCGGCUAGACUUGUAUACAAGGGCAGACCAUAUACAUGGUGCACGACCUCUGACGUUACGCCCAACAGCUGACCAUCCGGGAACUUGAAAAGACCAAGUUCAGGAACAAAGGAUUGGAGGAGGAAUUGAGGAACCUCCUUAUUAAUCAUCUCUAGUUGUAGAUACAACAACCCAUAGAAGCCAGCGUCAUUGAGACAUAGACAGAUGUUAGUACGAUGCGGGUGGUCGUUUUCAAGUAGAUCAUUGGCAGCCACCAACUGUCCAAUUUUGCAACAGAAUGGCUUGCCAUUUCCCUUCUUUUUCUUCAAGCCAAUCUCCCCUAGGGGGCCCUUCUUUACAAUUGGUUGCUUUGUGGCAACUGCCUUUUCGUUAGCACAACCCUUCUUUGUCGGAUUAGUUUUGGCCACCAGACAAUCAAAUAACAUACUCAUAUUCAUAAUGUACCAAUGUCAUUAUGAUUCUCAUAACAACAAGACCAAACAAAGAUCGACAAUCAUACACAGGUACGUGAUCAUAUCAUAGUAAUAUCAUAUACGUAACAUAGGCAUUACGUAAUACUAAGAAAUACAAAUAGAUACACAAUCAUAUCAUAGACAUAAGAUAGGAAUAACAUAGGCAUCUAAUAUGCAUAACAACCAUAAACAGAAAGAUAAAUUGUAUUACACACAUAACAUAGGAACUUCAUACUAGUAAGUAGCAUAAACAAAAUAACAAUCAUAUCAUAGACAUAACGUAUGCACUUCAAAAUUGUAACAAACAUAGGCGGUCCUCAAAUCUCCCUUUUCUUGGGGGUUAACAGACACUAAUGGUGUUUUGUAGUUAGAGUCAGACUCCAAGCUCUAAAAGGAGGACGAUUCUUUCCGUUUCUGUUUCCACUUUUUGUUGCAUGAACCUUUCUGUACCCCACGUUGAGAUUACUGUAGCUCUGUGAGCCAUUUUAAAGAUUGAUGAGGGGAGAUGAGAACUCCUUUGUUAGUCUUCUCUAUAGGAAACUACGAGAAAGGAGGAAAACUUAUUAGAGCCUUAUAAAAUACCCUAAAAACCAAUCAUAUAUAUACGAAGCCUUAAGGAAGGUACAACAUAAAAAAAAAGUUAUCAGGUUUGGUGGUUCUAACCGUCAAUGUAUAGGUGGAUGAGGAUGAAUGUAACUGCUUUGGUGGAUGAGGACGAAGGUAACUACAACUUCACCAAGAGAGAGGCCUACAAACCUGAAGCCACCUUCAAAACUUCCACCCAGUACUUUGGAUCUACUGGCGGAUGAAUUUGAUUCCUCCAUGCAACGGCUUCACCGUCGCCGGUGAGAGGAGAGAGAUUAACAGGAAGAGGGAGACACUGAUGUUGAAGAAAGAGAUGGAGAGAAUGAAGAAAGAGAUGGAAAAGAGGGAGAGAAUGAAGAAAGUGAUGUGAAAGAGGGGUGACAGAAUAGUGAUAUGACCGGUCUGACACAAGGAUUGAAAAAAAUCGCAAAACAUUUUCAAUUUCCCAUUCUCGAUAAUGAAAUUCGAAUCUACGGAUGAAAAAAAGAAUUGAAUAUUAAAUAUAAAUAAAUAAAUUCUCGUUCCCAACCCCUAGAAGAAAGAUAGCCGUCUGAUCGAAGUCAACGAGGAGACGGAUUCCCAGUCGUCAGAUCAAGCUGUCUAGCCGUACAACUUGACUUUCCAUGCCAAUCAUUAACAUUUUUGCCCAACCGAGGCACCCUGUUUGUCUCCAGUUUGAUGAGUUCUUGCCGGUGAACCAAUCAACAAUGAAGAAGCUCCGAUGGAGGGCCCAUAAACUCACUAACAACUAGGUAAGGAUCAUGAAUGUUUUCAUAAGCUUAAUUUAAUAUUUUCUUAAGCUUAACCAGAUCUAUACAACCCUCCAUUGCCAGAUUCAAGUUUCGCCAGAGCCGCCGCCGUCUCUAUUUCUCAAUUUAAUCUCCUUUAUUUUGAAACCAGGUGAGGAGAGUUUCCCCUAAGUUAAUUUGGGGCUUCACAAUGGUUUGAAGUGGGAUUGAUCUCACCUGAGUUGACCUCCAGAACCCGAAUUUUGGAAUAUGGGUUUCGGCUCAUCGGGGAAGACGACUGGAAAACAUGUCAUGACGGUGCCUGAAGUUCCAGUGAUUUCAAUUCAGUCAUUGGACUUCUUGAGGCCAGAUCCGGUCACCUAAAUUUCCUAGAUGGCAAGCGUAAAACAAUACUUUAAAAUGUUAACAAAUUGCUUAAUAACGAGACCUAUAUAUCUGUUGUGACUCUAAACUUUAGGAUUAUGACAUUUGACCCAAAUACAUAAAAGAUAUUUAAGUGUUGAGGGUUAACCCUAAUUGAUCUUGAUAUGCUAUUCAAGGACAUUAAGGAUAAAUACAGGAUUUCUGAACUCGUAAAAGGAUUAAGGAAAAUGGAUUCUUUCGUUAUAAGGGAUCAUUAGUAAAAAGUAAUCAUGAUUUUGGAAAAGCCUAGUUUUUCCUUAUCACUUUAACAAUGGAGAUAAACUACAGAUACUUUGAGUCAUCACUCAGAUCUUUUUAUUUCAAAUCAACUCUGAGCCUAAUACCUAAAUUCCCGUAAUCAGGUUCUCAGAGUCGAAACCACUUUCAAGCGUGGAUCUCGACCUUUUUUUUGGGACCCUCACCACUUCACUUUUCUAGGCAAGUGGUUUAAGGGGGUAAAUUCUUACGUUGCUGUGUUUAGGAAUGAACCUAGAAUUAAAUGAUUACUUGAUCUAUUUGUUACUAUGUGUUUUGUAGUGAGUUAUGAUUGGUCCUAUACUCAUGUUGAUGUUAUGUAUCAUGCUUGCGUGUUACUUCCUGAUUAGUUAUGUUACUAGUAAAUCCUCAUCGUUGCUAAAUUCAUGUUGAUGCCAUGUGUCAUGUUUCCAUGUUUUUUCCUUGAUAUGUUAUGUUUACUUUUAAAUUCUUAUCCUUACCAUAUUCAUGUUGUUACCAUGUGAUAUGUCUUGGUUAUUAUCAUGUUAUGUUAUAAAUCACCUAAACAACAAGUAAGCCUAUGAUAGGCAAUAUAAUAACACGUAUCUCGCUAACUAGACCGCCACCCUCUUAUGUUACCUUCAUGUUUCACGUUUGGGCGGAUGGUAGGAAUCAUGUUUAUGGUUCGAUGAAUACGUACUCCCGGACUCUCACGUUUACAUUUUGGUGGUUUGCUAGUUAAUCAGGAGGCCCCUAGAUGUCAUGUCAAGUAAGCAAGCCAAGUAAAUAAUGUCAAGUAAACCAUGUUAAGUAAAUCAUGAUAAGUGAAUCAUGUCAAGUCUAAUCAUAUGUAAUCCCUAAUAACAUUAUUGUUUGGAUUGCUAACCUAAUGUGAAUGUGUACUCAAGAACUAAAAGCUUAUGUAAAACACUAAUAGUUAAGCACGCAAGACUGACCCCAAACCACUCACCAGGUCAUACUAGAGAUACCGGCAUAGAGACUACCUAAAAGAACUUUAGUGGAUGUUGAGGAUGUCACAUGAGUUAGAGUGAGUGAUUUUGGAGGAUGGACUACCAUGUUUACUCUCUUUCGAGUUUCUAGUACUUGAGACUUGGGUUUUGUUUUUUAUUUUUUCAUACUUGAUUUCAGAUGUUCGGGUUGCUCACUUGUAAGAGCCGAUUUACUUUGGAUUUAUGUGUAGUUUUCAAAAAAGUCUAUACCUUUCUCUUUUGACUAUCUUGAGUCUUGUGAUCUCUCCAAGGAAAUUUGGUAUUUAAAUAAAUGAAAAGGAUUUGUGAAAAUUUGGGUCGUGUCACAUACCACUUCCCCUUGCAACUCCUUUGAUGCCAAUAAACCUAAAAUACUCACAAAAUCACCCAAAAACCAACAUUAAAUGUCCCCAAACGGGCCAAGUGGAUAAAAACACAUAUUUGAGUUAAAGUUCCUAAGAACUACCCAGAAUAGCAUGAUAUGCACGAAAUUUGGCUUAAAAUACGAUAGAUGAAUGCAAUAAAUCAAACACUACAACUAACCCCACACUUAAGCUUUGCUUGUCCUCAAGCAAAAAACUGAUAAAAGCUAUGAUAAACAUCCACAAUUGAAUGACGUUACUAGCAAGGCAAAGCAAACCCAUAUUCCACAAAGUACCCCUAUAUUUCAACACAUGCAAGUAAACCCUUAAAAUCAACCAAUCUAGGAAGUAAGGGUCUCAUCAAAAGUUGUCCAACUUUUCAUACAUCAUCCGCCAUGGUAUACCACCCAUCUAGACUUUCUCUCAAAUGGCACAAUUUAAAAAUGAAGUCAAGAUCAUCUCACUCAAAGUGUUUAGGGAUAGUGUUUGUGAGCUCAUUCCUCAACUCUGACGCAAACUUCAACACUCGCACAUCAACCUACUUUUUAAUCAUUACAUCAUAGAACUUCAAACACUAUUCUAGAGGUCUUUUAUUAAGGAUUGUAAUCUGAAAAAAAGAAUAAGAGGAGAAAUGAAUUUGGUGGUAGGUGUACAUAUUGGCCGACGAUUCAGUCCACUCUAAACAUGGAGCUAAAGCUACUUAAAACAAACAACCACGAUGCAAGGAUUCAAUUUCCAUCAAGAGCUUAAUACUAGCUCCUCUAUCCCUUAAAUAAGCUACUACUCCUUCGAGCUUUUCCAUCAAGAGCUUUAUACUAGCUCCCCUAUCUCUGAAAUAAGCUACUACUACUUCAAGCUUUUCCAUCAACACUUGGCCUCAUGUGCAACAAAAUCCAGAAACUGGGUGAGGAACACGAUUUAGACAACAAAUGUAGCAUCCUCUGAUAAUGCAGAUAAUAUUUCCUUAAGACCUCAUGUUAAGGCAUUAGAAAAGAAGCUAAAUGAUUUUACUUUGAAAGUUUCUAACCCCCUGCUACUUAUGUUUAUACUUGUGCUUGGGGUGAUGUUCCUUACAGCCAGGUAGAAUGUGAUAUUUUCCUCACCAACAAAUUCAUGAUGAUGGAAGAAGUGGAUUUUGUGCGACAGGGCUACCCCUUCAAUCAGCAGGGAUAUCAGGAAUUCAGAGCAAAGAACGCCGAAGGCCGACGAUUCAACUUCACAUACCCUGGAAGGCGUUGUGACUUCUACAAGUGUAGGAUGGAGGAUUACAAUGUCAAAGACAACAUCACUCCCCAAAGACAAAACUCACACCAUUAAGGAAACUCGAGCAACAACUACCAAGGUCCACCAGGAUUUCCAAUCAAGCCAACUAAGCAGCAACAACAACAUAAUUCGGACCCUGCUGGAGGAAUAAAUGAAGACAUCAUCCAGAUGAUGAAAACCAUGCAUGUCUUAAUUAUAGCUCAAAAGCCUGCCAACACAAACUUUAUCCUCACUCCAGAGGAAAUCAAGAAGCAUGUUCGAUUCUAUAUCCAUUGGUAGUCAAGAAGAAGGGGCUUUGAAAGGCAUUUUAGAGAUUUAUAGAGAUCAUCAAGAAGAAGGAGGUUACAUUAACCUUUCUGGAAGCUUUCAUAAAGAUUCUAGCAUAUGCAAAGUUCUUGGUGAUGCUAAACAAGAAGAUAAAUCUUAGUGAUGCCACAGAGGUCUCACUCUAUGAAGAAGGAGCAAUAAUCCAAGUUGGAUCGACAAAGCAAAAAGACCUAGGGAGCUUUACUUUACCAUGCAUGAUUAAGAAUGUUAAAGUCUAGGGAGCUUUAUUUUACCAUGCAUGAUUAAGAAUGUUAAAGUUAGUUAGAGUCUUGCUGAGCUAGGUGCUAGUAUAAAUGUUAUGCCCCAAAGCUUAUAUGAGAAACUAGAUAUAUGUGAACUUAGACAAACUAAGAUAGUUCUUCAACUUGCUGAUAGGUCUUUGGUAAAACCCAGGGUAGUCGUAGAUGAUAUUUCAAUUUGUGUAGGACCUUUUGAAUUUUCUGCUAAUUUUGUUGUUCUAGAUACCCAUGAGAAUGACAGUCAUUGGCUUAGUCCUACGAAGGUUGUACCUAAGAAGGUGGGUUUCAGGACCAUUUUUGUUUGAUGAUAACUAUAUACAUGCAUUUAAUUUUCUAAAAAUGAAGUUGACCACUGCGUCGAGAUUAGUCUCCCCGGAUUGGGAGGCACCUUUGUAACUAAUUUGUGAUGCUAGUGAUUUUGCAGUGGGUGUAGUGCUAGGACAGUGGAGAGAGAAGAGAUUACAUCCCAUAUACAUCAUGAGCAAGAUGCUUAAUGAUGCACGGAAAAACUACACAACUACUAAGAAUGAGCUCUUGUCGAUUGUCUUUGCAUUCAAGAUGUUCAGGUCCUAUUUAAUGUUUAUCCCAGACUAUGGUUUUCACUGACCAUUCUGCUCUUAACUAUCUUCUAGCUAAACAAGAUGCGAAGCCGAUAUUUAUUCGUUGGGUGUUGCUCCUUCAAGAAUUUGACAACACUAUUAAGGACAAUGCGGGGUUAGAGAACAUUGCAGCUGCCCACCUAUCGCGCGUUGAACGGCCUCCUCCUGUUCAAUUAGCUCAAGGAGAGAUAAAUUAGCUCUUCCCGGAUGAUCCACUACUCCUCUUGGUAGAAGCAGAGAAAGUCUUGGAUCAUCAUCCUCAACAAACGCCCAUGGUUUUCGUACAUAGCCAACUUCCUCGCUUUCGCGGCAUUUCUAGAAGAUUAAAAAAUCAUCAGCAGCAAAGGAAACAGGUCUCCGAAGCCAAGCACUACAUCUGGGAUGAUCCUUACCUCUACCAUUCGGGCUCAGACGGAGUAAUCAAACGAUGUGUUAUGUUGCAUGAAUCACUCCACAUCAUGCUCCCUUGCCACACUAGACCUGUUGGGGGACAUCAUAGUGGAAAUCGCACAGCUCACAAGAUUUUAGAUGCGGGUUCCUACUGGAGGACGAUCUCGAAGGAUUGUGGCAGAUACGUGAAGAAAUGUGAUGCCUGUCAACAUACAUGUAACAUUUCAAAUAAGAAUGAAAUUCCUAUUACCAUCUCCAUGCUUGUAGAAGUUUCUAUUGUGCGGGGUAUUAGUUUUAUGGCCAUUUCCCAUAGUCCCAUGGUAACAAGUAUAUCCUUGUUAUUUUGGAUCAUGUGUCAAAGUGGGCAGAGGCAUAAGUGCUGCCUACUAACGAUGCUUGGAUAGUGGGAAAGUGUAUCACACGGCUUUUCAUGCAUUUUGGUGCCCCUCAUGUUAUUGUUAGUGGUAGGGGCACUCACUUCUAGAGUCAAUUCGAUCUUGUGUUCCAAAAAUUUGGUGUAACUCAUCGAUUAACCACUGCUUAUCAUUCACAUACAAGCGGUCAAGCGGAGGUGACGAAUCGUGAGCUGAAGCGGAAUCUUGAUUGACAGUCGAUCAGUCUCACAAGGACUGGUCAAUUCGGCUCGAUGAAGCUCUAUGGGCUUAUCGAACUGCCUUCAAGACUCCUAUCAGUACUUUGUUGUAUU